UUCUUUUUUUUGUAUUCAAUAUACCAUCGAACUUGUUGUCGGUGUUUACCAUAGCCCUUUUGACCGGCUUUUGACCUGUGAUAGCCGGUCAAAGGGCUAUGGUAAACACCAACAACAAGUUCGAUGGUAUAUUGAAUACAAAAAAAAGAAAAGGGACCAAAUGAGUACAAACGCAAAAGUUAAUUACCCUCAAGAGUCAUUUUCCCUGUUCUUUAAAAGUAUGUUUCGAAAAUAGUUAGUUGCGAUAUCGUCCGUAUAAAGAUAUUUAUUAAUUUUUAUAUUUUUAAUUGAACAAGCUAAUGAAAAACUUCCUUUCCAAUAUUUUUUUUCUUUAUCUUUUUAAGUCUCCUAAUUAAUGUCAUGUCACUUGAUUUUUUAUUUCAAAUUUUAAAUUAUUACUUUUUCAUUCUAAUUAUAUUAAAUUAAUAAAAUUAUAAUAAAAAUUUAAAUGAAAUUAAUACAUAUUAUAAGGUCACAUAUUUAUUUAAUUCAACGAUUAUAAUGUUAUAUAACUAAAAAAAAUAUCUAAUUAAUAAUUUAUUUAAAAUAAUUGAUUAAUAGUUUUGAGUUUUUACUAUAAAAAUUUAAUUAAUUUUGUAACUAUAGUUUUCAAAGGUUAUAAACUGAUAUUAAUAUAAAGGAAAAAUAGUUAAAAAAAAAACAAAAAACACCAAUGUUCUAUUUAUGUAAUUUGGCUAUUAUAUCGGGAGCAUUAUUAUAAUUGUAUCUUAUAUACUAGUUGUGAGACCCGUAUGUUAUACGGGUUGGAUAGAACAAAAAAAUUAAAUAUAAAGGUUUAAACAAAAAUUUAUUUAAAUUUGAAAUUUAAAAUUUAAAAUUUGAAUUUAAAAGGAAAUAUAUUCAAUAGUACAUGAGUUGUAAUAUUGUAAUUUAAUGGUUAUUUUCAAUUAAAGUAAUUAUUAAUUGAGAUGUAAAUAUGAUGUGUUAAUUAAGAAAAGACAAACAAUGAGAAAAUGACACAUGAAAAAAACAUGUAUUCAAAAAUACCAAAAAAUGACAUGUGUCCAAGUUAAUAAGAGAGUGACAUAUGGCAAAAUUAUUUUCAUUUAUUAGGGAGGAUUGAAUAAGCUAAUGAAAAACUUCCUUUCGAAUAGUUUUUUUUUCUUUCAUCUUUUUAAGUCUCCUGAUUAAUGUCAUGUCACUUGAUUUUUCAUUUCAAAUUUUAAAUUAUAACUUUUUCAUUCUAAUUAUAUUAAAUUAAUAAAAUUAUAAUAAAAAUUUAAAUGAAAUUAAUACAGAUUAUAAGGUCACAUAUUUAUUUAAUUCAACGAUUAUAAUUUUAUAUAACUAAAAAAAUAUAUCUAAUUAAUAAUUUAUUUAAAAUAGUUGAUUAAUAGUUUUGAGUUUUUACUAUAAAAAUUUAAUUAAUUUUGUAACUAUAGUUUUCAAAGGUUAUAAACUGAUAUUAAUAUAAAGAAAAAAUAAUUAAAAAUGAAACAAAAAACACCAAUGUUCUAUUUAUGUAAUUUGUAUUUAUGUAAUUUGGCUAUUAUAUCGGGAGCAUUAUUAUAAUUGUAUCUUAUAUAUUGUUUAUUUCUUUAAUUUUAAAUAUGGACUAUUUUUAUAAAUUUGCAAUCAUAGAUGGACCAUUUAUGUAUCUUCGUUGUUACAUAAUAACCAUUUCUAUAAUCACACAUGCAAUGACAAUUCUAGAAUUAAAACCAUGUGUUACUUAUGUAACUAUAACGAAAAAAAUAUGAGUAAAAGAUAUUAGCACUAUAACGAAAAAAAUCUGAGUAAAAGAUAUUAGCACGGUCAAAUCGUAUGCCCUAAAACAUUUAAACAUAAUUUAAGUAGUUGUAACAUCCAUAAAAAUCAUAAAAAAUCUAAACUUUUUAAACAACCCAAAAUCAUCAUUGUUUACAAAAUAGUUUUUCAAAAAAUGUCUAUUAUCAGAUUUUGCCCAAAAUCACAAAACCAAACCCGAGGAGGUGCACAAUCACGCCUUCGCCUUCUCGCGAUCAUCUGAGGUACCUGAAACAUAAUCCAAAACUGUAAGCCCAAAACUUAAUAACUUCCCCCAAAAUACAAAUGCACAAACAAUAGCACAUAUACAAUAACAACAUGCAAUGGGUCCACAACUAACAUAAUGGAUUACCCCUGAGCCCAUAACAUAAGUCUAGCCUACUCUCAGCCCAUAACUUAUGUCUGGCUGCUCCCCAACCAGAUCAGUCCUCAGACUGAAUACCACUAAGCCCUCAGUACGAGUAUGGCAUGCCCUUCAUGACCCUUAGCUCGUAUCUGAAAUGCUCAUGAGCCCUCAGUAUGAGUCUGAGAUGCCCUCCCCGGCCCUCAACUCAUAUCUGGCUUACUCCAGGGUUUGUUGGCUACCGCACGGAGCAGUACAACCUCAACCCAACCCACACAAUAUGUCUAUUUAUAACAAAUAAUAUCAUACACAUAUAAACAUACAGUAACACAGGUAGUCCUACAAAUCUACCAGAAUAGUAUGACAAAACUAACAUGCAUAUCUAUUCCACACUAAACAUAUCAACGAAUAUCGGGUUAUCAAACCAAUGGGUCGGCCUUGGUGCCUUUAACCCCGUAAGUAUAGUGAGGAAAACUCACAUCCUACUGUUGAAUCACACUGAAAGUCUCCGACUGCUAGCUCGCUAACAUCCUCGCGCUAUCACAACAAAAUAAUCAUCUAAUUAAUAAUUGGAUUACAACCUAAGCUAAUAGUCCAUCAUUAGGGUAAAAUGCCACUCUACCCUUUCCCUAGUUGGGCUAAGACCCAUGCCCAAAUCUUGAUCCAAAAGCUAAUAGUCCAUCAUGAGGAUUACAACCUAAGCUAAUAGUCCAUCAUUUGGUUAUUCCACUUUAACUUAUUUUCCUCGUUGGGAUGUGAGCCUAAAGAAUAAUCAUUUAUUUGACUACCUUUUCAAUCUUAAUUAUAUACGACUCGUAUACACGAGACUGUGAUUGAUGAACCAUGUAUGACUUCUAAUAUGAACUUCAGAACGGAGACUGCCCAAGACUACGAGUAAUCGCAUCAUCAUGCGAACAAAUUUAGAACCCAAUACGACUCCUGUAACCAGAUCGCCCUAUAGUCUAACACCCAUGGAGAUACAAGAACCGUCCGGACAGCUUAACGACUACUCAGCAAUGGAAUGGAAAGACCAAGCUUCUCACCCUGGAGAGCUCCGGUCUUAUUCUUCAAGAAGGUAGACGGAUUGUUUCAUAAGAGCAUCGACUUCAGAGACCUCGACAAGAUCUCCAUUAGAAACCAUUACCAUCUGCCUCACAUAGAAGAACUGGUUGACCAACCGCAAGGAACGAUGUACCUUUCAGGAAUGGACCUGAGAUCCGAAUAUCACUAGUUGCGAGUGUUAGAGAAGGAUGUCCCGAGGACAAUCUUCCAAACUCGAUACGGAUGUUGCGAGUCUGUAGUGAUACCCCUCGGAUAAGACCAAUGCGCCCGUAGUAUUCAUGAACUUAAUGAAUAGGGUACGUCAUUCUUACUUGGAUCAGUUCGUCAUUGUCCUUGUAAAUGACUUACUUAUCUACUCUCGUAGUAAGAAGGAAAUCAUGAAGAGCAUAUACAACAAACCAUAGAAACAAUACGAUCAGAGAAACUUUACGCAAAGUUCUCUAAAUACGAGUUUUGGAAAUGAAGAGUUGAAUUCCUAAGACACACUAUUAGUGAUGUGGGAAUUCUUGAGGACCCUUCCAAAAAUCAAAACCGAUGAGAAUUUGUCAGCACCAAAGACACCGACGGGAAUUCGCCAAAUCCUAGGUCUCGCUGACCUACUGUCGUAGCUCAUUCAGAACUCCUCGCAAAUUACGGAACCUCUUAUGACUCUGACCCAGAAGGGAGCGGACCUUGACUGGGAAGAGAAGCAACAGGAGGAAACCUUUGUAAUUCCAAGUGAGAGACCAAAUCCUUUUGGAAGUCUCACUCUAGGAAGGCUUCAUACCCGGAAAGUGUGGUAAGCUAAAUCCAAGAUAGUUAGGACCUCCGAGAUUCUUGCCAGAAUCAACCCUGUAACUCAUCCAACCUACCCGCGAACUCAGUAACGUACAUUUUACCCUCCACAUCUUGAACUUGAAAAAGUACCUUUCCGUCAGGACUCUUGUAAUCCCACUCGACGAGAUCAAGUUCAACAAGAGCCUCACCUUCGUGGAAGAACCUUAGUGACGAUGGACCGAGAGGUCAAGCGAACAAAGCGACACCGCAUCCCAUUAGUAAAGGUUCGCUGGAAUGCCAACCGAGGACCUGAAUUCACUUAGGAGCACGGGAAUCAAUUGAAUAGGAAGUAUCCCCACCUCAUUGCUUGAUUUUUCAUACCUACUUCCUUACCUAAAUUCUAAUUUCGAGACGAAAUUCCCUCUAACAGGGGGAUGAUGUGAUAACCUAAAAUUUUCCAUCCUGUUCAGUCUAACACUUCAUUGGAAGUCAAACUCAUUCCUGCUAUCAUUUAGCACAAUUUGGAGCCUGUUUGAGCGUUCUGAGCCUUGUACUCUUAAGGGAUAAGUGUCGGGGUUUAUCUGCUGAAGAUAUAGCACAAAGAACAAGUCUAUAUCACCUUGACAAGGAGUUCACGGCCACCACAUGGGAGUUUACGGUCGUAAACUCCAUGUGGGCCGUAAACUCCUCCUAUAUGUUGACAUUUUGGCCAUUUGUUCCAUUCUUUCACUUUCUUGGCUGAAAUCCUCUCAAGUACCAUCCUGAUCUUCGUCCCUGAUCUUCAAAACUCGUAAGUUUAUUGUCCUAAUUAGUUGAUAUCUUACAUGAUCUAGUGAUCUUACAUGACUUCAUCCAUGAAAUCAUUCCAUUUUGUAGAUCUUCAAGUUUCACCAAGAACACCAAGAAUACACACUAGUGUUCUUGGCCAAAACCGACCAUUCACGUGUUGGGUUUUGAGCAUUCUAACACUCCUAAGUGUACAUGCAACCCUAAAUACCUUGGAUCUAUGUUUUCUCUAUUAUACAUGAAAAUAUGAAUAUUCAAAGGUAUUCAUCCUAACUAGCAUAAUAACAUUGAUUCAUAUGAAUAUCUCAAGUUAGAAUUACAUACCUCUUUGAUGUAGAAUGUCUUCACGAAGCUUGAGUGCAUAGUGCCCUAAGUGUGACACCUCAAAUGGUUCACACAACACCAUAAAAACUUGGAAUAACCUUGAGAAUAAGGAUACUUUGGUUCUCUUUAGUGAAAUCGGCUAGCCCUCUUAGUGUACCUACACUAGUGUCAAUUUCACCAACCAAGGAUAUCUUUAUAUAGUGUGGAGAUUAGGGUUAAACCCCAAUACCCAUGACCUUUCAUUUCAUAUGAUCCAUGGGUUGAACACUCCAUGGACUAUCCAUGAAAGCUUAGCCCAACCUAAAUGAACUUGGCCCAUCACACAAAUAUAUCUUAGAGUCCAUAUUUAAUUAGUUCCUUUUGAUCACUUAAUUAAUUAUAAAUUAAUUAUUGAUCAAUACUAAUUAAAUAAUAUGGUUAUAUAUUAAUAUAUUAGAACUUAUAAUAUAUUAAUAUAAAUCACUGGUAUCCUUUUUCCUCAUCUUGUCUAUCCAAUUGUCCCGAUGCCAUGCAACCCAAAUGGACCAUGCCGGGUCGGGUCAAGUCUUACCAAUUAUAGUUAUGGACUUAGAAAUUAAUCCAAUAGUCUCNUGGCAAUCGUAGCUCUCAAAAGCUUCUGUCGAACUCUGACCUUGUCGAUGAACUCUGACCUUUGUCAAUGACUUGUCCAUUAGAUAAGGGAUCAUAUAUUCCUCCAUUCUAGAUAUCAUAUGGACUAAGACAUGGAUUAUAAAUCAUUCUCUCUGUCCAUUUGUUGUUUCCCAAUUUCCGAUUCAUGACGACUGACUGAUUGAACAAAUCAAAUCAGUCCCGGCUUGGCCAAGCACUCACGUGUAUCAUCAUUUAAAUCAUCGAGGGGCCCACAUAUAUCGCUUUUAUCCCAAAGGUAAAAGGAAUGGAUAAACUUCGACUCAUAUGACUUGUUCUACUACUUGUUGAAUCAUACACAAAGGCACGUUUUAUAACAUCGAGUUACCGAAUGCGUUUUCGUGCAAUCAAUGUACAACCAACUCAUAGUAACAACUCAUAUCUCUAGGUUUGAAGAAUAUAAGAUAUUAUCGUCUCAUGAUCACUCGUGAUAAAAUCCAUGAAGUGAUUCAAAUGAGCGCGGGUUGAAUCCAAUACUCAGAACUUAUGAGCACUCAUGAGUGUUGUAGCACAACUUUGUCCACCAACUUGGACCUCUACAAGCCAACCCAUGACAGUCUUGAUUCAUAUCUACUUCCAACAUAUGACCGACUGUGGAUGGUUUGAAUAACUUAGUCAUUCCGGAAGAAUAACCUAGUUAAUGAAAGUCAAAACAUGCAAAGUGAAACACAAGAAUUAAUUAAUCAAAUAUGGUAUCAAAUCCUAUGAAUAUAAAUAGACCACUUUUAUUUAUCACCAUACUGAUUACUCAUUAUUCAUUGUUUCGGUUUUAUCAACUUUAUACCUGAAUUAAAAACACUAGUUGUCCCAUGCUCCAAGCAUGUACACUAUGUUUUUCUAAACAAUAGCUUUGCCAUACACCAAGUAUGCACUCUAUGUUUGUCUAUGAUCCUUUUCUCUGUGAGCUAGAUCAAUUGAACAUAAUUUCAAUGAUUCUCUUUUCACACUCCCAAAUCCUUGUCUUAAAUGUAAGAAUUCUAAAUUCCUAUCAUUUAUCGAAAUAUGUUUAGAUUUUAAACAUAUAUGCAUUGUUCCUCUUGUAAUGAUUAUGCGUAAAGCCACAAAGACUUGGCAACAAUCAUUACAAAGCAUUCCAAUGGAAAGCAAUUCCAUGGAAACGAAGUCUCAAAGCACAUUGCUUUGAAUAUCCUUCUUGCAUUAAGUUUUUCUAAUUUUACACAUAUAACUUCCACCUAUGGAGACAACUCCAUAUUCCUAUUUUGACUACUACUUAUGAACAAGAGUUGUCUCUUUUCUAGAAUAUGUCAAUAUGGUCCUUCCAAUAUUAACAAUAUACUUCCAACAGUCCUUGAGCAACCAAUCUUUGGUAAAACCUUAGAUUGUCCUCGACAAUUGUUUAAUCACUUUAGUCAUAUCCGAUUCUAGACCUUUUUUCCCCUUAAUGCCCCAAGGCAUUUGGAAAAUUUAGAAAGGAUAAAUAUUAUAGCACAUGCAAUCGAUCUUGUACCCAAAGCAAAUGGGACACGAUUCAUGAUGUCUCACAUAAGGACAUGAUUCUAGACCAGUCUUUUGCUACAAUAAUUUUUGUUUGCCAUGUUUUCAAAAUUUGACUAUGAAGAGGGAUGUCGUAAUCAUAACUGAAUUUUGAGAACGCAAUAUAUAGAAUUUCCUUAAGUUGAACCAAUCCAAAAUGAAAUUCAUAUAUAUAUAUAUAUAUAUAUAUAUAUAUAUAUANCAAUUGUUUAAUCCUUUUAGUCAUAUCCAGUUCUAAACCUUUUCCCUUCUUAAUGCCCCAGGCAUUUGGAAAAUUUUAGAACGGAUGAAUAUAGCACAUGUAAUCGAUCCUAUAUCCGAAGCAUAUGGGACACGAUUCAUGAUGUCUUACAUAAAGACUAAACCAGUCUUUUGCUAUAAUAUUUCCAUUUCAAUUUGCCAAGUUCUCAUAAUUCAGAUUAUGAAAAGGGAUGCCGUAAUCAUAAUCGAAUUUUAGAACGCAAAUAAUGGACCCAUAUACAGAAUUUCCUUAUGUUGAGCCAUUCCAACAUGAAAUUCAUAUAUAUCCUUGACUAAAUGAUUAAAACCUCACGAUCUAAGCUUAUAGAUUUGAGAUGAAGCAUAAUUUCCUCUCCCUUAAUUAUAGCAAAACAACUUUUUCCCAAUUGAAACUUUUGUUUUCUAUAAUUAACAUUGCUAACUUGCAAUACUUAUCAUAAUUAUCAUGCUCCCACUAACAUGAUGAUUAUUAGCAUAACACUUAUGCUCCCACUAGCUUUGACAUGUACUUAGAAAUCAGCUGGACUUCUAGAAAUCAAUACUUUAUUGACUUUCUUACCAAAGUUCAGAUUUUUGAUACUAGAUUGCUUUGAUAAAACUUUAUCAUAAUCAUACACCUUAUCUUAGAUAGCUCACUGAUAUGUCUACACAAUUUCAAAACUAUGAAAAGGUAUGUCGUAAUCAUAGUCUCAAUUGUUUAGACCUUUGUCACUUCUCUCAAGUCUAUGUUAAUGUGUCGAUAAACCACACACGCUCCACUAAUGACUUUGAGAGUGCAAAUAUCACAAUUGCUAUCUACUUAAAAAAAUCUACUUAGUGAAAGUGUUUCCUCACCAUCAUUUUCGUGAAUCGGAGAGAAACCUUAUGACACUUAGAUUUUUAUGGUGUAUGAGUUCUUACCCAUAUGAAUUUGUCAAAACCAUAAUCACAAGACAAGGUUAGUGUCAAAUCCAAACUCAUAUGGAUUGAACUUGUGCAAUCUUAAGUUCUUGCCCCCUGGCAACACAAGGGCCUGUCAUAGCUUCCAAGUAGCUGUGCAACCAAUUGAGAACUCUCAGAACUACUAUGCAAAGUCAACUUGAAUAGGCACAAAAAUGUCAACACGAUAUGUUAUACACCUCAAGUCGUGUGCUAGUGAAGAAUUUCAGGUUUUAUUCUUGACUAGGUCUUGAAACUUUCAAGAGCUUUAGGACUCCCACUGUCCUCUUGACAUAUAGGACUCACUUGCCAAAUAUACAAGAGAUAGUGCAGAUUCUUUAUCAAGACAAACACUUCACACAAUUGCUCUAAGUUGGUCUCUGUUUUAUCCAAAACAUCACAACUUACCAAUUUCAAAUGUACAAGAGUAGAUAACCAUUUACUCUUACAUUUGACUAGUGUUAAUAAACCUUCUUUAAGAUAUGUCAUUCAAGUCACAAUCUUGGAGUAUGACUCUAAGAAUUGUUUUGGAACGAAGUAUGACUCAUCUUUUUGAUUUAACCAUUUCAACAAUUCAUGACUCCUCUUCUUAGUCAUAAAAAAAAUGCACUAAGAGGACCUUAGAGGAUCAAGUGUGAUAUGGUAUCUUAAUCAUUAAGAUGAUCAUAAACAUGAUACUAAAGUACUCUCCCAUAUUUUCAGAUUUGAGAAACUUUUAUCUUUCUGCCAAAUUUGAUUAUUCUCAUUCGUUCUGCCAUACAUUGAAGUAUUUUCAAUGUUUCAGAAUUAUACUUAAACUUGUAAGUAUAACCAUAUUUACUAAGCUUUAGUAAAUCAUGACGAAUAUUCUUUGUGGUGGACCUGACCAGCACACACCCAAGUGUACCCGAUCCCUUUGUCCUUCCCUUGACUAAUAUAUACAUGUGAACAAGGAAUUAGUCUUAAUUUUCCAAAUAUGAAAAUUUUCAUUCAUCAUACUAUACAACUUGCAUGAUUCCAAGUUUCGGUCCAAUUUAAACUUGGGUGAUGAAAAUCUUUCCUUAUUUGGUAAAAUUAGACACUACCAUAGAUGAAAGAAUCAAAUCCAUAUUCAAUAUUGCUAUCAAUGGAAUCUUAUAAGCAACAAUUUUUCCACAAAUGCCAUUGUAAGGAUACUGAAAAUAAAUGAAAUCAAAAAUUUUCCUUUUAUUUUAAAAUUUUGCGGAAAACCUUAUCCUUACAAUCCAUAUGAAAACCUUGUUGUUAUCUAUACCUAAGCAAUAUAUCAUAACUCUUAAGCAACAACUCAAAAAUUCUGAUCACCGAACCAUGCGAUCGAAAUCCAUCUUCGCAAUCAAAAUCAGCAUAUACUUCCUUUAAGUUUCUUUACUUUUCUUUGAUUCUUAAAACAUCAACAUGUGACCCAGUCACAUCAUGUAAUUAGAAUCUCCAAGUAGGAACUUAAUAGAGUUAGACAAUGGACUAUACCUGAAAUAAAGUCAUACUUAUUGACUUUACCAUCCUUAGGUAAGUUUGGCAGCUUCGUAACCAAAGCCCCUUCCUUUGGCAAUAGAAACAUAUGGAACAAUAGUUAUUGGUACAUGGGACUAUCUCAGACUUAGCUUUUCUCUUUACCAUUUGGUCAACCAAGUUGACUAUGGCCAAUCCCUUUCCAUUAGGAAGAGAAAGCAUUUCUGGAUUUCCUGUGUCACUAUUGUCCCUGUCCAUAAAGUUUUGGGAAGUUGAUUUCCUAAUCAAAUUUGCUUUACUAGUACACCAAAUCAUUUCUGAUUUAGCAGCACCAAGCAAAUAGAUAAGAUCAUUAAGGGUCUUGUCAUAGUCUAUUUCAUAGGAGUCCCAAAGGAAUUCACUAUGUGACUUAGAAAGUGAUUGAACAUCCACUUCCUUUAGACUUUGACACCCAACUCUCCCGGCUUGUGAAUACAUGACAUAAUUGGAGGAGGUGAAAGAAGUAAAGUUCCAAGAGAUUUGGGAAGAUCAUAGAUGUCUGAACUUAGACAUCUUUUGGGAGAUAUUCAAGAUAGUUGAUCUAAAGUCCUUAAUAUGACACCCAAUAUGAAAUAUUAAGGCUAGGACCCAACAAACUAUUUUAUAACUUAGAAGAGGUAUGCCGUAAUCCAAGCUAUAAAAUAUUUGAAGGUAGGUGAAUGACGAUUCACCAAUUUCCACCAAGAUAAACGAAAUGUAUUAUUAGGUUUUAAUUGGUUUUGAAACUCCUAGAUCUUUGAGAUUCAUUGAACUGUUCAAAGGCAUGUUUCAAUCUCGAGUGUGCCCUUCAGGUUUUGUGACUGGGAUGCCGAGGAUCACAAAACAAGGUGUGAAGUAACCAUGCAAAUCACUUGGUACCCUUAAUAAAUUACCCCUCAAUCGAUGUGUCGGUUAACCACACACGCUCCAUCGAUACUAUGAUAAACAUUAAGUUACCCUUUGCCUACCUUGUUAAGUCCAGGUUAGUGUGCCGGUUAACCACACACGCUCCACUAACUGAUUUAAACAAAGUGCAAAGUGUAAUUUCAUGGAUCAACACCACAUUCACAGUUUCCUAAGUAACUAAGAUUGGGAAUUUCUAAGUGUUUAGUUACUUAGUAUUUAUCAUUAAUACUUUCAGUGAAGGGAGAAUUAUAUUCCUUGUCCUACCCGUUUGGCUAACGACCCUCCACCAGUCAAGGAAGCGGUGGGUGAGAGUGGACACCCAUUAAACUGUCAUUUUAUAGGCAGUAACCUUAUACCCCCCUUAUAUACCGGCUUCGUGAAUGAGGCCUACUAUUGGUAAGACGACUUUACUCUUAUACAUAUAUAUAAAUAUUAUUAACUUAUAAUAUUAUAAAGUAUAAGGGUUGAAUUUUAACUUUUAAAAUUCUAAGGGCUUAACUUAUAAUUAAAGUAUUCAUGAGGAAAACUUUAUAAAUUCCAAAACUUGAGGGCAAUUUUUGAACUAUUCAAAACUAAAUAAUUCCAUAACUUAUGUGUUUAAAGUAGUUUUAAUUAAAAAACUAUUCAAGUUCCAUAACUUGAGAACAAGUUAUGGAAGACUUUAAACCAUUAAAGAAUGUGACUCUUCCUUAUUCAUAACUUAUGGAUUUAAUUAAGGUUAUACAUUUUUUUAUUUAAUGAAGAGACUCUUGAACCUCCAUAACUUGAGGACAGGUUAUGGAGCCAUAAAAUCAUUUAAUGAGGACAAGACUCUUCAUUUUGUAAUCUAUGACAACUUUUAUGAGUUUUAAGAAAUUUAAAUGUGAUUUUUCAUGNAGGUGAAGAUCACCUAUUCCUAAUGAUUAGGUCCAACCUUCCAUGUUCCACUUCCUCAAUGUCUCUUAGCCCCUGUAAAUUAGAACACAUUUGGAAACCACAUCCUGUGUCAAGGACCCAAGAAUGAGAAAUUUGCGUGGCAUUGACUUGAAUAGUGUAAAUACCUAAAGUGGACGCCUUGAUCUUCCCAUCUUCAAGUCAUGCAAGUGUUUCUGGAAAAUUCUUCUCCAAUGAUCCUUUUCGCCACAAUAGAAGAAAGUGGCCUCUUUGGGAUCACUGAUCACAGGGACAUCAAAGUUAGGCUUCGUCUUGGACCUACUACUAGACCCUCCAGUAUGAGCCUUCCAUUUGCAGUUGGAUUGGGAAGGAGCCUUCCUCUUUUUACCUGUACCAGAUCCAAUAGCCAGGACAGGAGCGUUUUUUUCAGAAGAAACAUGAUUCUUUUUCAUCACCGACUCAGCAAUUUGCAAAAUGUUGUGGAGCUAGAUCUAUCUCGUCUCUAUGUUGUUCAAAUGAAAAGUUAGAACAAACUGAUCAUAACUAGGAGGAAAAGAGUAAAGGACCAUGUCAAUGACCAACUCUUUCUCAAACGACUCAAUAAUCCUUUCCAUCUGCUCCACUUAUCUCUGCAUUAUCUAUACAUGAGCAUAGACAAAUUCUCCUUCCUUAAGCUUCCAUGACAUAAGAGACUUGACCACUUCAUAGCACUUUUGUCUUGCUUUCUUCUGAAACUUUUCAGCAAGAUCAAUGCACAUUUCAUAAGGCCAAUAGUCCUCAUCGAACUUUUCCAGCUUAGGUGCCAUAAUGGCCACCAUGAUGCAAGCGACCUUAGUGACGUCAUCAGAGUGUUCAUAGCACUCUCUUACCUAAGAAUCAUAUUCAGGUUACUCAUCCAGUCCUUGUAGUUAGGACCAGUUAGUUUCUCCUUUAAUAGAACUGAGAGAAAAGUGAAGUUUCGAUUGGGGAGUGGUAGUUUGUGUAGUAGUGAGUUCACCGGUUCCAGACAUCUAUAAAGAGUCAUAGUUUUUAGUUAGUGAUAUAAAUCCUUAAUAAUUUAACCAAAAAUUGAUAUUCAAGGCUAGGAUCCAAAAUACAAUUCACAAUAAAGAAAAGGGAUGCCAUAAUCUAAUUGCAAAUGUAUCAAGGUAAUUAAUACAAAUUUAACAAUUUCAAUCUAAUAUGAAAUUCCUAGAUCAAUUGAGAUUCAUUGAAUCUUAUCAAUGAAAUGUUCAAUCUCAUAUUACAGACUUCAAUUUGUGACUAGGAUGCCGAGGAUCACAAAUAAGACGUGAAUAACUAUGCAAACCUGCUAGACAACAAAGAUGAUUUAUCAUCUUGAAUUGAUGUGCUCGUAAACCCCAUACGCUCCAUCAAAAAUAAUAAUUUUCGAUUUGUCCAUCACUCAACUUUAUAAACCCAAAUUAGUGUACUAGGAAGCCAGGCAUGCUCCAUUAAUGACUUAUAAAGAGUGAUGUGCGUUUUCAUGGAUUAACAAACACUUCAUAUUUUUCCUAAAGUAACUAGAGUGUGAUUCUAAAGCGGGUUAUGUUACUUUAUAGCAUCAUACUUUUAGAGUUUAUGUCCUAUCAAACCUGUUCGGAUAAUGACCCUACACCAUACAAGGAAGCGGUGGGUGAGACUGGACACCCAUUCAACAAUCAUUUUAUAGGUUUUCUCCUUAUGCCCCCUUAAAGUAUGACUUCGUGAAUGGGGGCAUACUAUUGAUUUGACUCACUUUUCUUAUACGUAUAGUAUUACACAAUUAAUAUUACAUAGUACAAGGUGUAUGUAACAUCCCAAGUUUUUUCAAUUAUAGUCCUUGGGGAUGGAAGGGUAAAGCCAUGAAGAGCCUAAGGGCUAAAUUGUAAUCUUGGGACCACGAGGAGUACACAGCAUUUACAUAGGGUACGUUGGGCGUACUAGGGCGCGCCCUAGUACGCUGGAUGUACACUUGUGUAUGCUAGGCGUACUCAUGAAAGAUGAAAACCCUAAUAUCUCAAGUUCGGGGCUAUAUAAGCAUCCUUAUGGCUCAUUUUCUCUCCUACGAUCCACUCACUGCAGGUGAGUUCAUACCCCUUAAUUAACCUUUAAAUGUUUCUAAAAUUUUAUAAAUGCUUUUAUGGGGGUGUAACAUCCCAAGUCAGAAUCAAGAGUUCAGGGGGUAAAGUGUAAGCUUGGAAAAGAGGGACUCGGCGAGUAGGAGUUGCAACUAGCCGAGUCUAAGCAUGUGCCGGGCACAUGUUAAGUGACCGGACGCCGAGUCGGAGGCUGGACUCGACGAGUCCGUGCUGGAAUGAGAAACCUAAUUCCUAGGGUUUGCACCCUAUUUAAAGAAUAAUAUGUCUUCAUUUCAGCCUCUAUCUUCCCUGAGAGUUCCAGAGAAACCCUAAAUCGUGAGAGACUCCAUUGUUGAGAAGAUUGAAGCUUGGAAGUAGAAAUUGGUGAAUAGAAGCUGGAGGAAUUUGGGGAUAGCAUCAAAAGAGCUUGUGGAUUUGAAGUUUACAUCAAUUUAGACUCAUCUCUAAGGUAAGAGGACAUUACCUUAAGCUACUUCCUUGUUAUUUCAUGAAUGGUGGUUGAUUUGGAAUCCAUUAGCUUGAUUGGGAUCUAUCUUGACUUUGAGGCUUACAUCUGAAGUUGCUACUUCAGAUCUAGACUUUUGAUGGCCCAUCAGGUCACAAAGUUCCUGUCUUAGAGUCAUUGGUGAAGCCCUUUGUCUUAAACCCUAGCCCUAGAAGUGUUUUGGGCUUAUAUCUCCUUGCUUUCACGUAAAGUUUGCAACCUUAUGUGAGGGUUAGGUUGUAGAAGAGUGGAUCUAUGGAUUGGAGUCCCUGCAUGGCUUGAAAAGCCUCUAUUUGGAAUGAGAACUAAAGAGACUCGGCGAGUCACAUAAGUGCACUUGACGAGUUGUAUGAAUAUGUGCAUGGACUCGGCCAGUUGGAAGAACAACUCGGCGAGUCUGUUGAAGAUUGCUUUGGACUCGGCGAGUCUGGUUGUGGAAUCCUAACAUUUUCUUGUUGAGUUGUGAAUCGGUGAGUCGAGGGAUGACUCAGUGAGUUCAGCNUAGCUUGUUGGACUCGACGAGUCUUGGGGCAACUCGGCGAGUUGAGUCGUGGCAUGGGAGUCUCUGAGCAUAGGAACUUGACAAGUCAACGGGUUGACUCAGUGCGUAGGGUCAACCAAGAAGGUUGACUUUGACUUGGACCAAGGGUUGACCAGUUUGACUUCCAAGGGUAUUUUGGUUAUUUUUGGAAUUGGUUCUUUGGUAGUGUUCUGUGGUGAAGAUCGUGUUGGUGGUCGGAGCAGCUUGGUCUUAUCUUUCCAGUCGGCAAUUGCAGGUGAGUUAUCCUCACUAUAUCGACAGGGUCUACGACACCAAGGCGGCCCUUUAUCGGAUGGAAAUCCGAGUAUUGUUUGUUAUGUUGUUGAUAUGCUAGAUCUGCAUCCUGGUAUUUAGGAUGGUGUUAUGUUAGUGACCUGGUUAAGGUCGGUACCCGGUAUAUAGGGUAAUGCUAUGCAAGUGACCGGUUAGGUUGGAAUCCUGGUUAGGAUGUUGAUAUGUUAUGUGAUCUGUUGGACUGUUUGUCUGGUUAAGGAUUUGUUAUGUGAUUAAUUGGUUUAUGUGCACAUGGUUGUUUGACGGGGGUUGGGUUGAGGCGGGUCCUGCUUUGUGCUGUAGGCCAACAUACCCAGGGCGGACCGGAUAUCCCGAAGGCCCAGCGAGCGGUCCGGAUAGGCUGAAGGCCCCAAGAGGGCGGACCAGACGUGUCGAGGCUUGGAGAGUGGACCAGGCCGACUGAAAGGCCCGGUGUGGACGAACCAGUCAUAUUGUAGACUUAGAGAGUGGACCAGAUGGAUUGAAGGCCCGGUACGGGCGGACCAAUCACACUGUAGAAUCGAUGUACAUGGCUAGACUUGGAGGGUGGAUCAGGUGGACUGAAGGCCCGGUGCGAGCGGACCAGUCACACAGUAGACCCGAUGUGCAUGGCUGUUCUAUUUGUGAUAUGUUAUGAGUAUGUUUAUGUGUGGUUGGUUUUGGGGGCANAAGCUUUCGGGCUUACAAUUCAGUGUAUUGUUUUAGGUACUUCAGGAGAUCGUGGCAAGGCGAAGGCGUGAUCGUACCGCUCCUCACAUUUUAUGAUUUAUGUGAUAUGGUUUUGGGGAAUACUCUGAUGUUUAAACUAUUUUGAAAACAAAUGUAUGAACUUAAUGGUUUUUUAGUGAAUUAAAAUGUUUUAAAUUGGCUCGAAUUUUAUGGGUGUUACAAGUUGGUAUCAGAGCCUUGGUUUGAGUGAAUUGGAGGAACAUUCAUGUGAAUCCAGUCUCAAAUCUAGGAGGGAUUUUCAAAAAUAGUUUUCAAAAGGUUUUCAAAAUAAGUAAAGGAGAACGUAGAGGGUACGAUCAGUCGGAGCCAGUAAGUAGACCCCAAAUACCAUACAAGUUAUUUGAUUAUGUGAUAUGUUAGAACAACAUGCUAGUACUAGGCUAGGGAUAUUCAGGAAUUUCAUGAUAGAAUUUCCUGAUUGUAUGAUGCCUGCUAGCCUAGGGUUUCCUUUGUAUGAAAUUGACAUCAUUACUGUAGUUAUUUAGUGUAUGCAUCACGGUUAUACAUAAUUAAGAUCUUAUAGCCUGGGAAUGUUUGAUUUGGCCUUAUGUUUUUUUCUUGUAUGAUUGGGAGCUUAGGGUAGGAUUGGGUAUUCGAAAGUCUAUAGGGUCCAACGUUAUGUAUGACUAGCAUACACCAGUACUGCAGGGUUGGUGGAAGUUUCAUGGGUGGGUAGGUUGCGUGAGACCAGUAGGUCGAUUAUGAGAUAGUGGUGCCCCUCUAGGAGUGGGGAUCGAAUGUUCGUUGUGUAUAUGCUAUUGUUAGGGUGUUGUGGUGAUACUUGAUACAAAUAUGGGUAGGUGUGGAAGUUAGUAUGGGCCCGUACUACUGAAAGCAAAGGACCCAUAUGCGUAUCAAGGAAGUCACAACCCCUAGGGUUUGUUGGGAGUUAUUUCUCGGGAAUAUUAUGAGGAAUUCCUAAUAUUUUGUGGCGUAUUAUCAGUAUGGCGAUUACGAGACGUCUCGGGGCAGGAUCCGGUUCGGGAUCGGGAUCAGGAGAGGGUGGUCAGGAGGGAUCAGUACUGAUGGGUUUUGGUCAUAAGACAUCCUAUGUGCUCAUACAAACCCUAAUGCUUGGAUCUAGGUUUCUCUAUUGUACAUGCAAGUUAUCCAAGACUAUAAACCCUAAUUCUAGCAUACAAGUAAUCAUAUUAACAUAAUAAUAGGUUUAUAAUGUUACCUUGAUUGUUAUGUAGCAAUAACAAUCCCAAAUCUCCUUGUAUUGGCUUUGGAAGGCUUAGAGUCACAAGUGUCACUCCUCUAAUGGUUCACAAACACCAUAAGCAAGAGGAUGAAGAGGAGAGUGGAUGGAGGCUACCAAAACUCGUGUGAAACCCUAGCAAGAAGCUUAGCCACGUUUUUGGGUCAUAAGGGAUCCAUAUAUAUAGGAGGCAAUUAGGGUUAUCUAACAUGGAAACCCUAAUUUGGUUGCUUAAGCCCUAAGCAACUCAUGGACUCCUUUAAUCAAGCCCUUGGACGAUUUCAUAUGGGCUUCCCCCAUAGAAUUCGUCCACCUUAUAAUAAAAGGCAAUCCAUGGCCCAAAUUGCAAUUAUCUUAUAAUUACAAUUCCAGUCCCUUAAGUUUAAUUAAUCUCUUUUAGUCACAAAACUAAUUACCAAUUAAUUAUUGACUAAUAUUAAUUAAACAAUAUGAUUUCUCCUUUAAUAUAUUAUUCUCAUAAUAUAUUAAUAAAUCAUAUUUAAUCCUUUCUCUCCAUAAUUCAUCCUAUCAAGUUGCUUUGGUGAAGGCAACCCAAAAGGACCAUGCACCAUCGGGUCAAGUACAUACCAAAAUAGUUAUGGACUUAGACACUAAUCCAACAGUCUCCCACUUGGAUAAGUCUAAUAACUAUUAUGCGUAUGACUUCAGAUCCUGAUCUGCAAUCGUAGCUUUCCAAAGCCGCUGUCAACUCUGAUCCUAUCAGAUACGCGUGUCCUUAGAUAAGGGAUCAUAUAUUCCUCCAUUCUAGAUAUCAUAUGAGAUAUGAUUUCAAAUCAUUCUCUUUGUACUAUAUCUCGAUUCCCGAUUUAUGACGACUGACUAAUUGAACAAAUCAAAUUAGCCCUAGCCCGGCCGAGCAUUUACGUUUGUCAUCACNNNNNNNNNNNNNNNNNNNNNNNNNNNNNNNNNNNNNNNNNNNNNNNNNNNNNNNNNNNNNNNNNNNNNNNNNNNNNNNNNNNNNNNNNNNNNNNNNNNNNNNNNNNNNNNNNNNNNNNNNNNNNGGAGAUUGUUACAAGACAAUUCCAUAGACGUGAUGUCUCUCACUCAAAGUACAUUCUUUGAACAUCCUUUUGCAUAGAAGUUUCUAAUCUAGUCAUAGAUUUCUCAAUAUUCAAUUCCCAAUAUGGACACACUUCCAUAUGUUCCAUAUGACAACUCAUUCUUAAUAGAAUCUUAUCUAUUCGUAAUGAUGUCGAUAUGGUCCAUCCAAUAUGGAAACAUUUCCAUAUUUUCCAACACUAUACUUCCAACUACUCACAAGCGACCAAUCCUCGACUAACUUUGGAUUUUCCUUUGAUAGUUGUUUAAUUAUUUUAGUCAAANNNNNNNNNNNNNNNNNNNNNNNNNNNNNNNNNNNNNNNNNNNNNNNNNNNNNNNNNNNNNNNNNNNNNNNNNNNNNNNNNNNNNNNNNNNNNNNNNNNNGAAGGCGCCGGCUUGAUCUGUACACACGCAGGAGACUUUGAUAUAGUUAUGUGAUCUUGGGAUUUUUAUGAUACAGACUUGAAUUUAAAACUUAUUGUUCUUAUGAAAUUAAAUGAGAAAUGUUUUUUAUAUUGCGAAAAAUUAUUUUGAAAUUCACGGUGUUACAAGUUGGUAUCAGAGCCUUGGUUUGAGGGAUUCGAGUACACCUUCGGGCGUAUUUGAACUCAAACUGAGGAUUUGAAAUGUAUUUUCAAAAAGAGUAAAAGAUUUUGAAAAACGCAGAGCAAGAGAUAUGUGUACGAUCAGUCAGCGCCCGAACGGUGAUUUCCCAAAAUACCCUUGUAUAUUAUGUGAUAUUGAUAUUGUUAUGAUGUGUUCGCAUGCUAGAGUAGGCUAGGUAUUGCUAUUAGGACUAGAGUGGCCUGAUUUGUGAUGCCUUAGCCUAGGAAGAGGUGAGCUGCUAUGAGAUGCUUGAGAGUGAGUUAGUAGCAGUGAGGAACUUAUGAAAGAUCUAUGAGAGAGUGGUCUAUGCAUGAUAGAGUACUUGAGACCUGGGAUCCAAAGAGAAGGACUUGGAGUGUAUUCUGGUGCGGUGCGGACAGUAGUAUUGGGCCCGUACUACUGGAAGCACCGGAGCGGUGUGCAGCCCAAGUCAGAAUCUUUGGAAUGCCNAUUUAGUGUGCCGGUUAACCGCACACACUCCACUAACAUCUUCGCAAGGGCACAAAGUGUAAUUUCAUGGAAUUGCAUCAAUUCACUUUGCCUAAGUAACUAAGAUUGGGAAUUUGUAAAACAUUUAGUUACUUUUGUACUUUAUUAUACUUAUAAUGAAAGGUUUCGUCCUAUCCUACCCGUUCGGCUAACGACCCUCCACUAGUCAAGAGUGCGGUGGGUAAGAGUGGAUACCCAUUCAAUCGCCAUUUUAUAGGCAAUUUCCUUAAACACCCCUUAUAGACCAGCUUCGUGAAUGAGGCCUACUAACGGUAAGACUGACUUUUACUCAUACAUAUAUAUAAUGUUAGACUUUUAAUGUUAUAUAUAGUAUAGGGUGUAUUUUACACUUUUAAAAUACUAGGUGGUCAAAUUUAACAAUUAUACUUUUAAUUCAAUUAAAUUGUAAACCAAAACUUUUAUGGAUUUAUUAAACCUCUUUUAAUUAUACACCUUAAUUAAUUAAUAAAACCAUAAGGGUGUGAUUUGAACUUUUUCAAAACAAUACUAGGGUUUUAGAAUUUAACAUUCCUAAUUAAACUUUUAAUCAACUUUUAAAUUCCAAAACUUGAGGGCAAGUUUUGAAACAUUUCAAAACAUUAGGGUUUAGAAUUUAAAUAUACAUCAAAAUUAAACUAUUAAUCAAAAUUUAAAUUCCAAAACUUGAGGGCAAGUUUUGAAACCUUUUUCAAAACAUUAGGGUUUCAACUAUUUAAAUUUCAAAACAACAAAACUUUUGGGUUCAAAUUUAAACUAUAAAACCUAAAGGGGAAAAUAUGAAACUUUUCAUAACACAAGGAUCAAAUAACAAAUAAUCUAAAUUAACAAUUAAUCACAUAAUUAUCCAUAUUUGAUUUAUUUAAUGAUUUCUUGCAAAACAAUUUACCAAUUUAAUCAAAAUAAUUAAUCAAUUAUCACAUAAGGAAACAAAUAUUUUAUUAAUUGAUAAAUAUCUUCAAUUAGAUCAAGAAUAUAGUCAAAUAUAUCAUAAAAUCGGAUUUAUAUUGAUCUAAUAUGAUAAGACAAGUAUCCUCAAGCAAAAAUAGCAAGAAAUCCCGAUUUUCCCUCAUUCUGACCAGCCGACUCAUCGAGUCCAGCAUGGACUCGGCGAGUUCAGCAAGCAGAACCACAAAAAACGAAUUUUUUCAACAUACAAAGCAUCAAUACAAUAGAAACCAAUCUAGGCUCUGAUACCACUGAUGGGUUUUGGUCAUAAGAACAUCCUAUGUGCUCAUACAAACCCUAAUGCUUGGAUCUAGGUUUCUCUAUUGUACAUGCAAGUUAUCCAAGACUAUAAACCCUAAUUCUAGCAUACAAGUAAUCAUAUUAACAUGAGAAUAGGUUUAUAAUGUUACCUUGAUUGUUAUGUAGCAAUAACAAUCCCAAAUCUCCUUGUAUUGACUUUGGAAGGCUUAGAGUCACAAGUGUCACUCCUCUAAUGGUUCACAAACACCAUAAGCAAGAGGAUGAAGAGGAGAGAGGAUGGAGGCUGCCCAAAACGUGUUCUAACCCUAGAAAAGAAGUUCCCCACGUUUUUGAGCCUUAAGGGUUCUAUAUAUAGUGAGGCUAUUAGGGUUAUCUAACAAGGAAACCCUAAUUUGGUUGCUUAAGCCCUAAGCAACCCAUGGAGCCCUUUCUUAAAGCCUUGGAAGACUUCAUAUGGGCUUCCCCCAUAGAAUUCGUCCACCUUAUAAUAAAAGGCAAUCCAUGGCCCAAAUUGCAAUUAUCUUAUAAUUACAAUUCCAGUCCCUUAAGUUUAAUUAAUCUCUUUUAGUCACAAAACUAAUUACUAAUUAAUUCUUGACUAAUAUUAAUUAAACAAUAUGAUUUCUCCUUUAAUAUAUUAUUCUCAUAAUAUAUUAAUAAAUCAUAUUUAAUCUUUUCUCUCCAUAAUUCAUCCUAUCAAGUUGCUUUGGUGAAGGCAACCCAAAAGGACCAUGCACCAUCGGGUCAAGUACAUACCAAAAUAGUUAUGGACUUAGACACUAAUCCAACAAGUACCACCCGAGGUCAUUGGUUAGAUGAGUACGAACGAGUUGGAUGCCAGGAUUCGUGAGAUCCUGCAUGAUGAGGUUGCUGCUAUCUUCCGGGCUGAGUUUCCGGAGAUGUUCGGGUCGAUCAAGACCGACAUGGUUGAGUACUUUGAUGAGAGUUAUGCAGCUCUUGUGGAGGCGGCUGCUGCGGCAGCUACANAGCGACAGGGGGGAGGAACCGGUCGAGGUUUUCAGUAUCGGGACUUCGAUAAUACGAAGCCCCCUACUUUCGAUGGAGUUCAGGAUCCGAUCGUUGCUAUGAGAUGGUUGUCAGACGUGGAGGGUUGUUUCUUCACGUGUUCAUGUCCUGCGAAUCAGAGGGUAAAGUGUGCUCUGAACCUUUUGAAGGUCGAGGCAAAGGAUUGGUGGAGGCUAACUACAGGAUCUUAUUCGGAUGCGCAAGGGGCUGCGGUUACUUGGGAUCAGUUUCAGUAGAUGUUCAGCACUCGUUAUGUCCCACGGGUUGAGAGAGAGAGAGAGAGAGAGAGAGAGAGAGAGAGAGAGAGAGGUUGGCUCAGGAGUUCCUGGAGCUGAAGCAGGAUUCAGAGUCGGUGACGGAGAUCACUAGGAUGUUCACUAAGAGGGCGAUGUUUUACCCGGAGUUUGCUUUGGAGCAGGCUCAGAUGUCCCGAUAUCUGAGUAUGCUCAAGAGGGACAUCAGGUAGUUUGUAGUCCGGUGGCACGUGUCGUAAGUGUGGGAAAGAGGGGCAUUAGGCGAGGGAUUGUAGGCAGUCAGCCCCGGUUCAGGAUUUGAGGAUUUGUUAUCAUUGCCAUCAAGUUGGUCACUUGAGGGCCAACUAUCCACAACUUGUUGCUAGACCAGUGCAGGCUCCAGCACCGACCCCUUUGAGGAUUAUGGGUGGAGGUCAGGGUGGAGCGGGGCCUCCGAGGGCUCAGGGACGCGCUUUCCAGCUUACACCAUAGGAGAUCAGGUCAGGGCCGUAUGCAGCUGCGGGUAUGUUUCCAUUUUGUUAUCUUGUGGUUAUUAUGGAGUAUUGUAUAUCUGCUAGUCUCAUUUUCAUGAUUCAUGGUAUUGUAUUCGUUCGUCCUUUCGCUGGGUUUAUCGUAUGAUUGAGGGUUUUAAUAUUGGGAGUCUUAGUUGGGUAUCAUCCAUGGGGAUUGUUGGUGGGGAAUUAGGAUUUUUGGUCUGGAUGUCGGGUAUAGCAUUUGCAAUUUGAGGAGUGUUUAGUUGAGGGUCGAACUCCCUUAGAGUUCGAGACGUGCGAUGUCGGGAUGUGAUUUCGUGAAGGUUGCUUAUUUUAGAUGAAAUCAGUUCAUGGAUAAAGGGGAAUGUGUUGAGUAGGGUUGUUUAAGUGAUGUCGGGUGGGUCACCGGUGGUUGGAAGUCAGUGCUCUAAGUGGGGAGAAUUGGAAAAUUCUCAGGAGGAUCGACAAGUAUUUGAGGUUGAUUAGUUGUUUGGGAUUCAACAGUGUUUCAGUCAACCAAGAUUGUGGGUUGGUAUUAGGAAGUGGCAGUCAAAUGGGGUGGGGUGUAGACCAAGGUUAUCAGAAAAGGGGAUUGGUUGUGCGAGGCCUAGGAUUAGGUCGGGAUUUGAGUAUAUAGAAUGGAGUUAGAGUUCGGAACCCCCAGAGGGCUAGAACAGUAUGUACGGGAGGGAUUCCCAAGAAGGAUAGUUCGGGAUGAUGUAUGAUAGUUUAAGCGGUCCAGAUAGACUGAAGGUCGGUGGGCGUACUAGUCAGGUCGAAGGCUCGGAGAACGGUCCAGACAGGCUGAAGGCCCUUAAGGGCGGUCCAGACAUGCUGAAGGUUCUGAGAGUGGUCCAGAUUGGCUGAAGGAAAGGACUCAGAGCUUGUUGAACUCGACGAGUUGAGUCGUGGCAUGGGAUUUUCUGAGCAUAGGAACUCGACGAGUCAACGGGUUGACUCGGUGAGUAGGGUCAACCAGGAAGGUUGACUUUGAUUGAGGAAUUUGACUUGGACCAAGGGUUGAAUAGUUUGACUUCCAAGGGUAUUUUGGUAAUUUUGGGUAUUUUUGGAAUUGGUUCUUUGGUAGUGUUCUGUGGUGAAGAUCGUGUUGGUGGUCGGAGCAGCUUGUUCUUAUCUUUCCUGUCGACAAUUGCAGGUGAGUUAUCCUCACUAUAUCGACAGGGUCUACGACACCAAGGCUGGCCCUUUAUCGGAUGGAAACCUGGGUAUUGUUUUUUAUGUUGUUGAUAUGCUAGAUCUGCAUCCUGGUAUUUAGGAUGGUGUUAUGUUAGUGACCUGGUUAAGGUCGGUACCUGGUAUAUAGGAUAAUGUUAUGCUAGUGACCGGUUAGGUCGGAAUCCUGGUUAGGAUGCUGAUAUGCUAUGUGAUCUGUUGGACUGUUUGUCUGGUUAAGGAUUUGUUAUGUGAUUAAUUGGUUUAUGUGCACAUGGUUGUUUGACGGGGGUUGGGUUGAGGCGGGUCCUGCUUUGUGCUGNCCGGGUCCUGCUUUGUGCGGUAGGCCAACAUACCCAGGGCGGACCGGAUAUCUCGAAGGCCCAGCGAGUGGUUCGGAUAGGCUGAAGGCCCCAAGAGGGUCGACCAUAUGUGCCGAGGCUCGGAGAGUGGACCAGGCCGACUGAAGGCCCGGUGUGGGCGGACCAGUCAUACUGUAGACUCAGAGAGUGGACCAGGUGGAUUGAAGGCCCGGUACGGGCGGACCAAUCACAUUGUAGACUUGAUAUACAUGGAUAGACUCGGAGGGUGGACCAGGUGGACUGAAGGCCCGGUGCGGGCGGACCAGUCAUACAGUAGACCCGAUGUGCAUGGUUGUUCUAUUUGUGAUAAGUUAUGAGUAUGUUUAUGUGUGGUUGGUAGUUUGGGGGUAGCUCACUAAGCUUUCGGGCUUACAGUUCAGUGUAUUAUUUCAGGUACUUCAGGAGAUUGUGGCAAGGCGAAGGCAUGAUCGUACCGCUCCUCAUGUUUUAUGAUUUAUGUGAUAUGGUUCUGAGGAGUACUCUGAUGUUUAAACUAUUUUGAAAACAAAUGUAUGAACUUAAUGGUUUUUUGAGUGAAUUAAAAUGUUUUAAAUUGGCUCGAAUUUUAUGGGUGUUACAAGGGGGGGAUACAAGUUGAAUCAUGCUAGUUAGUACAUCAAUCACAUGUGAUUAAUAACUAGCAUACAAAGGGAUUUACUACCCUUUUAGUUGUUUUACCAAACAGAUUACUUCAAAUGGCUUUCUCAAAUGUUUCUACAUGUUUAAAACUCCUUAUCAAACUGUCUUACAUACUGUAUGUUUCCUUUCAAACUUUAUUACAAUUGUGUUUCAAAUAAAGGUUUCCUUAUACUUAAAACUAUGCUUAUCAAACAAACUGCUUUCAAAUCGUUUUACAAACUGACAUCAAGUCAUCAUUUAUUAGUUAUUAAACUUUUCAAAGGUUUUACAAAACUCUUUUAUACUUUUAUAUUGUCAAAUGCAUGCCUAUAUAUGUAUAGUUAUAGAAGUAAUGUUUAAAGGACUUAGGACGGCUAGCUCGCUUUAUUUCCUUUUCCUCGUUGGGAUAUGGCCUUAGAGCAUCGGUUAUUCAUUCGAAUGUCGUCUAAAUAUUAGUUAUAUAUCAUGUAUACAUAUAUAGACAUAAAAGUUCCAUUAGUCAGUUAAGUACCUUUGGGUAGCAAAUGCAUACUUCGGUUAUACACGUACAUUACAAGUAGCUAUAAUAGGUAUAGUUAGGAGAUACUACUUACUAUUCCAAGUACAAGGAAUCACACAAGAGUCAGUUACUUCAUGAGUCCAUACUAAUACAUUACAUACUAUAUGAAAUACGAACACAUUACAUACUAUAUGAAGAGAUACAAUUACAUACAAUUACAAGACAUACAAUUACAGGACAUACAAUUACAAGACAUACAAUUGCAAGAGAUACGAUUACAUAGAUACGUUUACAUAGAUACGAUUACAUAGAUACGUUUACAUAGAUACGAUUACAUAGAUUCUAUUACAUACGUUUUGGGACUUACCAUUCCACCCCCAAGGUUGUUUGCUACAGUAGGGAAAAUGUACAUCGACGGGUGUCUACGGUUGUACUGUUCGGCGAGUUACCGCGCCGUGAAUAUCCUAGUACAAAAGGAUACAAUUUUAGUUAUUAGACUAUUUUCCUUAUUACAUUUAUACUGUGACACGUACACAUAAACGAUGAGGUAGACAAUAGUUUUAUAAUAAUAAUAGUUAUACAAGGGAAAACCGUCACAUUUACAUCGAUGCAUACUUUCAAAUCAGUAGGGUCUUGGUAGAAGGCUACUUUCAAAUCAGUCGGGUCUUGGUAGAAGACUACUUUUUAUACUAGUAGGAAAUAUGGGAUUUUCUAGGGUUUUCAAACAUUUACAAUUACUCACAAACAUUUUCAUACUUAUACAAACUUUUCCUCAAAACAAUUACAAGUAUUUUAUUACAAGUUUCAUUUACAAAUCAAUGACAUUAAAAUACUUAUGAAUUCACCAGCUUUAUUGUUGAUACCCGCUUUCAAAAUAACUUGUAUUCUCAGGUCACCAAUAGACAAGUACGACGACCAGGUUUUGUGAAGACGGAGCAGUCAAGACUCGUAUUUUAUUUUGAUUAUUGAUUAUGUUGUUUUAUAUUAUGAAAGAACACACUUGUAAUUAAAAUUAUACUAUUAACGCAAUGGAUGAUGUUGUUGCUUGUUUACUACUUUGCAUUGUUGUGAUACUUUACAUGACGUCCUCCACCCCAUAACGUUUCCACCGUUCUUGGUUUUGGGGUGUGACACGUACUCCCUGGUACGCCCAACGUAUGUGGUGGCCAUGCAAAUCUUCGAAUGAGGGCUUAAUCAAUUCAGUCCAGACGUCUAAUAACCAGAUCCAAGUCCAAGAAGGUGCUCUUAACCAUAAAGUUUCCAACUUUAUGGUUAUACAUGCAUCAUUAAGACCCAAACCAACUUCUUAGUUGGUCUUAACCACUAAAGACCUCUGCACUUUGCAUGCAAGCACUAAAUGAGUCAAGAAAGCAUUUUUAUGACUUAACACAACUCAAAUCUUCUGAAAAGGCGCCUCCUUUGGUCUUGGAGUAGCAUUUACUCAUGAAGUCCAAGCAAAGGGACAAAACUCAUAAAAAUCCAUAUGGAUAAAUCUUUAAUAAAUACAAGUAAAGUUCAAGGCUUUAUACCUUUUGGAACUUCCCAAAGAGAUGGAGAUAUUAGAUCUACAAGCUUAAAUCCCACACCAAAGCUUCUGAAAGAAUCCUUUCUUCUUUUUUCAACACCAAGAACACACACACACACACUCAAUCUCAACACAUACAGGGGCUAGGGCUUGCAAAAUCGACUUAAGGAGGGUGGAGGCUGAAAGGGUGAGGGGAAUGAGGUUAUAAGGGGGAUUAUAGAUGGCUCAACCCUAAAAAUUAGGGUUUUUCAAUAUUUGAUGAGUACGCCCCGCGUAUGUUGACGUAUGCCCCACGUACUAAGGGCGUGCCCUAGUACACUAAGUGUAUACACGUACUCAUGGUGUACUCUCAUUCCUUCCAAAUUACGGUUUUGCCAUUAGGGCUUCUCAUGGCUACUUCCUUCUAUUAUAGGGACCAAAAUGACAUAAAUUAAAAUCAUAAGAAUGAAUUUAAAAGUAUCUGAAUACCGAGGUGUUACAACUCUCCCCCACUUGAACUAAACUUUGUCCUCGAAGUUUGUUGUAGUGAACAACUCGGGAUAAUGCUCCCGCAUCUCAGCCUCUGGCUCCCAGGUCCACUCGGAGCCCCUCCGGUGCUACCACCGUACCUUUACCAAAGGUACUUCCUUGCUAUGUAAAACCUUUACCUUCCUUUACAAGAUAGCUAGUGGCCUUUUAAACAUAGUUCCGGUACUCAUAAACCUGAAUAUCAUCCAAUGAAACCACUGUGUCAUUAUCCAAUACGCAGUUUCGUAGUUGUGAAACAUGGAAAGUGUUGUUAAUUUGACUGAUCUCCUCAGGAAGAUCCAAUAUGUAAGCAACCUUGGCAAUCCUGUAGAUCACUCGAAGUAGACCAAUAUACCGGGGACCCAAUUUUCCUCUAUUCCUUAAGCGUAUCAAAGCUUUCCAAAGCGAGACCUUUAGUAACACCAUAUCCUCAUCCUGAAACUCCAACUCGGAUCGGUGCCGGUCGGCAUAGCUCUUCCGAUAACUCUGAGCAGUCUACAAUCUUUGUCUUAUCUACCGAAUCAUCUUCGUGGUCUGAAUGACUGCUUCGGGUCCUCCCCAUAACCUUGUAACCAACCUCGCCCCAACAACCGGGGAACGACAUCUCUGCCCAUACAAGAGCUCAAAAGGCAGAGCACCAAUGCCGGAGUGAUAAUUGUUGUUAUAGGAGACCUCCGCAAUAGGUAGGUAAGAUUCCCAACUCCCACCAAAUCGAUAACACAUGUCCUCAACAUAUCCUCAAGGGUAUGUAUCAUCCGCUCACUCUAGCCGUCGUUUUGCAGAUGAUAAGCAGUGCUGAAGUGCAACCUCGUGCCCAAUUCCUUAUGGAACUUCUGCCAAAAACGGGAGGUGAACCGAACAUCACGGUCUGAAACAAUGGAGACCAGAACCCCAUGGCGAGCAACGAUCUCGCAAACAUACACAUCGGCCAACUUCCCGGCUUAAGAACUCUCCCGAACCGCCAGAAACAGGGCACUCUUGGUCAGUCGAUCCACGAUGACCCAUAUAGCAUCAAAACCCUUCGCCGUCUUCGAUAACUUGGUGAUGAAGUCCAUCGAAAUUUGCUCCCUUUUCCAUAUGGGAACCUCCAGAGGCUGCAGCUUGCCAUGCGACCUCUGAUGCUCAAUCUUGACCAUCUUGCAGUUCAUGCAUCUCUCCACAUACCAGGCUAUCUCCCUCUUCACACACGACCACCAAUAGCUCAAUCUCAGAUCCCGAUACAUCUUGGUGACCCCCAGAUGGAAAGAAAAAUGAGACUUAUGAGCAUCCUCCGAUACAAUCUUUCUGACCCCACCAGACAUUGGAACCCAGACCCGACCACAUCGGGUUAACAACCCUCGAUUAUCCGGAACAAAUUAGACAAUCUCACCCCUGAUCCUCUAUUUCUUCAAAUUCUCUUACCGAACACCCUUGUCUUGAGCCUCCAUAAUCAAUCCUAAAAGUGGGGAAUUCGUUGAUAUCCUCAUACAUGAUACCCCAACUGAAGACCCAACUGACUUGUGACUCAAGGCAUCCACCACCACAUUCGUUUUACCCGAAUGGUAAAGGAUCUCACAAUUAUAAUCCUUGACUGCGUCCAGCCACCUACGUUGUAUCAUGUUCAGGUUUGGCUAAUCCAUAAUAUGCCUCUGACUCUUAUGAUCCGUGUAGAUAGUACAACUGACCCCAUAAAGAUAGUGCCUCCAAAUCUUGAUGACAAACAUCACUGCCCCAACUCUAGGUCAUGCGUUUUAUAGGUUACAAAAAUCAUGUGGCGGAAAAUAACUUAACUCUUAAGCAAGGUGCUAAAUGGCGUGAGGCGUGGCGUGGUAGCAAGGCCAAGCCUGAAGUGUAACGAGCCAUGGCGAGCCACGACGUUUUUCAAAGCGUGAUGUAAGGCGAAGAUUUUUUACUAAUUUAUUAUUAUAUUACCAUAUAAAUAUAAAUUUAUAUUAAAUAUAACUACUUUUUAGAAGUGUUAUAUCAAUAACUAAUAACAAAAAGUUAACAAAAAACACAAUACAUGUAUCCCCGAUUAGAAAAGACAUAACAAAGAGCAAAAAAAACGUGUCUCAAACGAAAAAACACACGCCAUAAGAUGCCAUAACGUGCCAUGACACACCAUAUCACACAUUGCCACGCGUCACGCCUAAUAACAACGUUAUGGGGCUUUUCGUAACGGCGAAGUCACGCCUCACGCCAUGACAUGCCUUGGUGCGUGCCAUGACGCACCAUUUAGAACAUUGCUCUUAAGUUCAUAUGCAACCUAAUUGGAUCUAUGUUUUCACUAUUGAAUGCUACAAUACAUGAACAUCAAAUAACCCUAUAGGAACCUUAAUUUAAUCCAAAUUCAUAAGAAGGUUAGGAUUUACAUACAUUUUAUUAUUCUUGUAAAUAACCAAUGAAAUCCUUCUUCAAAAACAACUAACCUUGCAAUCAUUUGAAAUGCAUGGCCUUUUGCCUUUGCUUUUUUUUUCCUUGUUUAGCUUCCACCAUAUUUUCUCCCCUUCGAGGGACCUUCUUUUGAAAUGUGUUUAUAUUUGUUGCACUCAAAACACUUGCUCCUCUUAACACACUUGUUAGUAAUGUAUUUGUUUCCAUAUUUGAAACACAAUGAGGGCCCAUUUGAUAGUUGUUGUCUGGUAGGGAUGAGCAUAUGGACCGGGGAACCGGACAGAACCGGGACCGAAACCGGAAUUGAAACCCGAUGGAACCGGUCGGGCUAGGACCGAGAUCAUAUUCUUGUAGAUUUUUGGAACCGGGAAUCGAUAGGAACCGGACCCGGUAGAACCGGCAAAAACCGGAACCAUUUGUUGCUAUUUAUCAAGGACCGCUUCCAACAUUGAAGACACGUUAAGAACUGGUAGGAACCGGGAACCGGUGGAACCGGAAUCGGUAGAACCGGCGGUCCAGUUCGGUUCUUAAUUUCGUCCGACUUCAGUUUCCGAUCUGGGUCCGAUUUGGGCCGGCUCCAGCCGGGUCGGUUCCUUUGCUCAUCCCUAUUGUCUGGGAAAGUGUAUUCUGGAAAGAUACUGUCUGGGAAAUAAACCAUGUUGUUUGAUUGUACAUCUGAUUGAUUGUGCCGAAUGAUGAAAAAUGACUAUAUUACAAUGUUGUUUUGUAUCGUGAUUGAUGAAAUUGCUAAAUAAUUAUAAAAACAUAAAAAUUGUCACAAAAAAAUCAAAAUUGCACAAUAAUCAUUUAAAAAUCUAAAUACAAAUUGUCAUACGAAAUCAAAAUUACACAAAACAUAUGUUAAAAUCAAAAUUUCAGAUUGAAUCUGUAUAUAUGAAAUGGUCCUCCUAAAUCCUAUGCUAAAAAAUCAGAAGAAAAAAAAUAAGAUAAAACAUAUGAAGGUUCGAAUUUGGUACUCUCCAACCAAAAGAAACAAAUCAGAAAAAAAAAGAUGAGAUGGUUAGUUGUGGGGCGAAGCUAGUGGCUGCAACGACGCUCCGAUAGGAGGAGACUGCACGACGAUGAAGUAGGGAGCUUGGUGAGGAGGCGAUAAUGUCUGAUAAAGAGCACCAAAUAGAAGAAAGAAGAGGUGAGUUUUGGGGCGUAAUUGUUUUUUCCGCCCAUUCAGCCAGAAAGAUAUGGUUUUGAGGCUUUGUGGGAAAGACGCUGAUAUGUGCAUUUUAUGCACCUAUUUUGCAUGUUUAUUUCCAUCAUUUCAUAGCAUUUUACUUCAUAAUUCUUGUAUUUAGUUAAUUAUUUGGGCAAUUGCAUAUUUUUAUUAAGAAUGCCUGGUACUUCACUAUUUUUGAUUUAUUUUGUAGGCAUUAUGGAACAUGGAGCUUGGAGCAUGGAGCCUGGAGCAUGGAACUUGAAACAUGGAGGAUAAAGCUUUGGAUCAUGAAGAGAAGAUGGACACGCCAUGGCAUGGAAGAAAAUAUGAAGACUUAACCCGAGUUCUUGUUGCAUUAUCAUCAUAGCAAAGGACUACGUUUGAAACACGGUCGUGUCACACCGAGACAGGUCGUGUUUGUCCUUUCUCAUCUUAUACUCGAGCAACAUCACUCGUGGCGAAGCUAGACCGUAUAAGGACCCAACAUUAACGACUUUAGCAAAAAGCAUGGGCCAUGCUAAAAACACAUGGUCAAGACACAUGACCAUGCCAAAAACAUAUGGGCAAAGGCAUGGCCAUGCAAAGAAAAAAACGAAUGGUCUUGUGGCAAGCACGUGAGCAGUUAAUAAAACAAGGGAGGUCGCCACACCUUUCAGGGGGAUGAUUUUUGGAGCUUUAUCUGGCGAUUUUGGGAGAUUUUUGGGAAUUCUUGAAGGCUACUAAUCAAUGCAAACACUUUUAAUUUCAUUUUGUAAGCAUUAAGCAUUAAACAUUUCAUUGAUUUGUUCUUAGUCAUGUGUGGCUAAGAAACCUUAAUUUCUAGUUCUUGUUCAAAACAUGUUGAUUGCUUGACUUGAAGUAUAUGAUUUGAUGUUUGAUUUGUGACUCUGUUUUAGUGAUUAUGUAUUUGAUUAAACUAGAAUAAUUGAAUUUGAUUUGUGUUUGAUUGACCAUUUUCAUGAAUUGAAUUUUUGUGUAGUCAAUUAACUUUUAGGGUACCUAAUCGUUAUAUUAAGUUAAUAAAUGGUAACAAACAAUAAGUUUUCUUAUUGUAAAACAUAUAUCACAUGUUUUCACACUUCCGAGCGUAUGAGAAAAAAAUAAACAUUGUUGGGAAGCUUGUACAAAACUUAAUGCAAUUUUUCAAUACAAUAUAAGAACGUGUUUAGGUUGAAUUAGUAAAAUGAGGUCUAGUCAAAGAGCGUGUUUUGGUUAGAUAAUUUGGCAAGCGAGAGGUAUUAGAGCGUUUUAAUAUUUUUCAGUACCAACUUAGAAUAACAAUCACGAAUUACAUCAAUUCAUAAUCAAGUUUAACAACAACAUUGAGAACUAGAACUAGAACCAUUCAAUCAAAUUGUUUACAAGUUUAUUUCAUUUUCUGCAUGUUUUUACAGUAGACUGUUAUUUUAUUAUUUUACUCUUGCAAACAAUACCCCCUUUUAUGAUUAAAGUAUUUUGCGCAAAGAGCUAUAGACUUUUAUUCCAUGUCUCCGUGGUUCAACCCUGCUUGCCUUGAACUACUUUUUGGUGCAUUAAAGCAGUGUAUUUGGAGUCCGUUGUACCCUUAUUAUUUGUUGGGUUUGACAUGCUUAACAAACGCAUCUUACCAAGAAAGACUCAUUUCUUAAUGCAAAUCAAAUAGUCUUUCCGACCCCUUUAACUAAAAAAAUUUAUUUGGACCUGGAAAGAUGACCAUCAAACGGUGCUUGAGUAUCCUUUGUUCUUUGCUUGUCCAUCCUAACUUUUGCUCUUCCACCAUACUUAGUCUUCUUACGAGUGUCAUUACUCUUACUUUGAGCUUCACUUUCACUUUUCUCUUGCCACUUUGGUCCCCCUCUUUUUCCUUAUCGCUUUCGCCUAAGGUCUCCUUAAUCUAUCUUGCAUUUCUCAUUGCAAGAUCCAAAUUAGUCGAAAUACCAUAGUUUAACUUGAAAGCCCAUGUUAGUCCAUGCUUGUAGCAAUCAACUUUUGAUUAAUCAUUUGGUGCCAAUCUUCUUGCAAAACUCGAUUGGUUUUAACUAAAUACGUUUUCUAAAUUUUAUAUUUGAAAUUAAAAAUGAUAACUAAUCUUUUUUUUGAAAACUGAAAGCGAAAAACAAUCAUCAUAGAUUGUUGAAGAUGUAGUUGCUUCAAAAUUUAAUGAAUUAAUAAAAUAAUGUCAUUGAAACAGAGAAACAUUAGAUGUAUAUGUAAAAAAUAAAAUAUGAGAAAUGCUAAUAUAAGUGACACUGAGUUACCGAGAGAUGUUGAAAACUUAAAGUGUUAAAUAAUAAAAUCGAAUCAAAAGACUUAUAGUCUAGCGGUAUCAGAAGUUGGAAAAUAAAUUAUUUCCCUUUCAAAUCUUAUUUGAAAUACUGAUGUAGUUUAAGAUUAUAUAAGAAUCCGUUAAAAAUUGAAAAAGGACGUGGACAUCCCAUGAUUUUAUUGCAACGAAGUGUAGGCAACAUGAGUGGUUAUUCGCGACCAACCACAAAUAAAAGGAUGCAAAGCCGAAUGGAAGGGACUUGCACACAUCGACAUUUAUCCACAAACAUCUCAACAAUUUUGAAAAAAAUAGAGAAAUGCACGCAUGAGCAUUUUCGCAAACACCUCUAAGAUAUUUUGUCAAAAUUAAUGAAUUGAAAGGAUUACAAUUCUUUUUAUUUUUUACCCAUUUAGUCACUGUUUUUUUAAUACAUUGAAUUAAUAAUCCUAUAAAUUUGUUAAAAAUUACCAUUUUAACUGGUAUUUAUGAGUUUAUGCGGUUACCACUUGACGUAGCAUAUCAUGUCGUUGCUCACUUGGAUUUUUGGUUGACAUGACUUGUAAACAUUUAACCACUAAUUUUUAUUGUUCUUACACAUUGACCAGUAAUCUUACAAAUUAAUUCAAAAGAAUAUCAUUAUACCAAUAUGUAUUUAUAUGAGAAAAUACGAAAAUACAUAUUGGGAGUUACAUUAUAUAAAAAAGUGGUGAAAUGAUAUUUUUUGAAAAAUAGAAAUACGCCUUGGCUCGGAGGUAGAGGGGGAAACCAAACAAAUUUUAGAGGUAUACGAUUUUUGGCGCUGAGAUGAUUCUUAAAAGUCCACACCAGGUUUCUCAUACAUAAUUCUUGCGGAUUUGGUUUCUGAUGUAGGGCUGUCGGUCGUAUUGAAUUCGGUAGACAGAAAUCUGGCAUUCCCCUACCAAUCUCUCUGUAAGUUUCCCCCGUACCUUCAGAUUAAAUACAGUCAUUUCCAUGUUCUAAUGUUGAUCUACUACAUACCUACAUAACUACAUUUGAUGAAUCGAAAUAUUCGCACCAGAGCUUAUGUAUAUGUGGAGUUAAUAUCUUAAUUAUCACGACUGUGUGUUUCGUGUGUGAAUCCUCAAAUCCAAAUAGGAAAUGAUCCGUGAAAGUUUGAAAGGAUAUGAUUCGUUGAGUUUCAGUUGGUUUCUCUAAAUAAUCAGCACUAGUCACUGAAAUUUUUGCAAUAGCAGUGUUAGAUCAUCAUUCUACUGUCUGUCUUUUAUGUGCGUUAUUAUGUCUGUACUGAAUUCCUGGAAUCAAGUUUGAAAGGAAUGUAUGCUAUUCAGCACGUUUGAAAGGGCAUGCUGUACCCCUGACUGAAUUCUUCUACCUCCAUUGCACUAUUAGAGUCCGGUCUCGACCUUAAGUUUCAAAAAUACUUCGAAGUAGAUUUAAAUUAUUUGGCUAGGGAGAAAAAUGUAUGAGUAUAUUAAUCUAUACACAAUAGUAAGAUGGAAUACUUUUUGUGAAAGAGAGAUAGACUGUCAUCACAUAAGUUUUAAGGAAAAUUCAAUUUACAAAACACUAGUUUCACACAUUUCACUCAAGCACACAAUGUAUAUGCAAAUUAAUACUGCAUUCAUCUCACUCUUCUACAUCUACUUAAAAAAAGGGACACGUCUAACAACUGCUUCCUCCUAGGCUUGAUCCUUAAUCGAAAUCAAAGGCUUUUUCCCCACAUUCAUCAAGCAUGUAAUGCGCUGAGUUCCAUUUGAACCAUUUAUCACGGUUGCUUUUUUUCUUUCUUGGAAAAUUUACAUACUGAUAUGUCUUGCUAAGUACUCACUUGAUCUUUCUCUUUUGGUGAUGGUGGUUUUGAAGGAGAAGACUUACCAGUUAUUGCUUUCUUCACCUUGGCGAUUGAAUGCUUAACUUUUGACCCAACACCUGACAAUAUAUUAUGAGAUUUCUUAGGAGUCUUGACUUCAAUGUCUUUCGAUGCUUCUACCAUAACCGGAGCAUCAAUCAUUUGGUUAUCGUCUUCAUCUUCUUCUUCAUUCUCUUCAUCUGUUUUUGUUCCCUUCUCACCAGUUUCUUCUUUGUCUACUUGCUGAUCUUUUGUCAGAGCUGUCUCUCUUUCUUCAAUCAAGCUUUCAGCCACGGCUGUUUGAGACUUUUCUUUUUCAUUUCCCAUUUUCUUCUCUUCUCCGAAAGCUUCACUGCUGCAUUGUGAUUCGGUUCCUGAAGAUUUAGUGGCUUUUAAAUCAUCUGCCUCAGCAAUCAAUGGCUUUGUAGUUGGCUCCCCUAGCUCAUUUGCCACAUCUUUGUUUCCAGUUAAGAGCUUUCUCUCUAUACUCUCAUCUAGAUGUGGUUUAUUUGAGGACUGGUUAUCCACAGUGCAAGCUGAACCUUCAUAUGUUUGUAUUUCCGGCUGAAUUUUACUUAUUUUUAUAAGGUCAUCUGUUACAUGUUUCUGUGAAAUCUCCAAGUCCUCUGUAGUUGUAGUACCAGGAGUCACAGGUGCAUCAAGUUCCAAGGGUUCCUGCAAAAUGAUUACCAGUUUAUUAGUUGUGGGAAUGGAAAUAUGGGAACAAAGGUUAACUGGGUUACAAAAGUGAAUAAGGUGCAUGAGAAGAUUUUUAAUUCUAUCAAACCUUUUCAGUUGGAAUUUCUCUCUCUAUGUUUUCAUCUACUUCUUUUUUCUGCACACUUUGAAUAUCAGAGCAUUCUGCAUUGUUCACGGCGUCAACAGUUAUUGCUUCUGGUGUAUAAUCAAAGUCCUUCUCACGCUUUUGAACAUCUAUUACAGCAACUUCAGGUGUAAUUUUCUCAAUGGUAGUAGUAGUUUCUGGGUUAUUUUUCUCUAGAAGCAUCAUGGGGGAAGCUUCCUGAACAUUUCCUGGUAAACUUUCAGAAACUUUGCUACCCUCAGGGACUAUUUCAGCAACAUCGGAUGCAAUUUCAAAAACUUCAGUUGGCUUUUCUUCAGACUUGUGUAUAUCAUCAUAGCCUCUGCUGAUGCUCUCCUCAGAUCUAACUUCUAUACCUUGCUCUGUAGGACUUGAUAUCGAAUCAGAAGUGGUUUUCGUGAGGUCAUCUGCUUGUGAUUCGCUUAGUGUUUCUUUCUCCUUGUUUGCAUCUUCUUCCAAUGUCUUUUCUUCUGUCACCAAAAUCUUUGGAAACUCUUCCUCUAUGAAUUCUAGAUUCCGAUCCUUGUUGCUUAUGUUGCUGUGGUCAACCUGUGUCUUAUCUGUUUCUAGUACUAGUUCUUUUGUUUGGUCUUCAACAGUUGAAGAUGCAAGUUCUUCAAGUGGUACAAUGGACACAAGUUUCUGUUACAUGAAAAAAACCACAAAAAUCUACAUGAUCAGUAGGUGAAGGUUAAAUUUCCAUUUGCAUGUAAUAAUCUAAAUGCCAUUUAUAAUGAUAAAACUACAUGAAAUCAGGCUAUGUUAACAAUGUCUUAUUAGCAUAGGAUCAGUAUAGGGAGGCUUUAACCAUGGGAUAAUCACAGUAAUAUUUUGUCAAGGGCUCAUGGCCUAGUUUCUUUCAAGCUGGUUGUCAUCCAGUGGUCUCAAAUCGAAUUAAUAGAAGACAAAGUUAGGGUUAUUUUUUUAUCAUCAGGGCUUAAUCUUUUUACCUUCUCACUUAAUGACCCAUCCACAGGUGUUUGACACGUGUCAUUUGUUACUUCUGGAUGUUCUUCCUCCAUCUCCAUCUUGAGAGUUGUUUCAGGAGUUUGUAUUUCAGAUAUAAGUUCAUCAUCCUUUUCUUUCUUCUCAAACUCAAGAUCAGGGGCUUCUGCAGACUGUAUAUUUUCUAGUUCUGUUGGGCUUUCUGCUUUCACUUCUUUGACUUCAUUGUUUCCAGCUGGUAUCGGCUUUGAAUAUUCUAUCUGUUAAAAGAUAUUUAUCAUUUUAAUAUCUGAAUAAAUGAAAUCAAUCUGAUAUUUUAGUAUCCUUCUUGCUGUCUUUACUGACCUCAUCAUCUAGGUCCUUUUGAUUUGAUGUCGAUGUCUUAUCGAGUUCUGGAGGACAUAUAUCUUCCUCAGAAACAUGUUCAUUGACUUCAUUUUUUUCCUCUUCUUUUUCAGUCUCCACUACAACCUGCUCAAUACAUACAAUGUUGUUAUCAUGUAAGCAGAAGUUUUGGAGUACCUGGUGAACAGUGAACAAAAAAAAACAUAAUCGAGUGCUACUUUUGACUUACCUCGUCAGUCAAGAUGAUAUUCUUGAUUGUCUCACUUUGAUUUUCUGUGUUGUCAAUCUGAUUUUCAGGUGCAAGUGUAACAUCCUCUUUUAUAUCUCUUUUCUCAUCUGCUAAAUCCUUUUCACUCGUAUACUUAAUGAUGUUUUCAGAGGUGAUGUCUGAUUUUUUUGGUUCAGGAUUUGUUUCCUUAACCUCGUCUUCUUCUAUCACUGAUUCAGAUGUGGGUUUGAUUACUUCAAGAUCCUAUUUUGCAACAAAAGAAGAAAAAAUAAAAUUUAGAUAGUAUGAUUGAUAAGGCCUCUUUCUUAGGAUAACAGCUGCAUAAAAGGAAUGGUGAUAGUUCUUUAUUUGUGCACUAACCUCUUUAAUGAAAACUGCAUCACGAGAUGAUAUUGAAAGGUGUUCUGCAACUUGCUUGCUUUCUGUUGUCUGUUUUCAUUAGCGUAAAGUAUAUCAAGUUCAUUAUAAGAGAAAUGCAAGAAAAAGAAUGUGUUAUUCAAAACUCUUGAAAAUCUUCUAACCUCUUCACUUGAAAUUUCAUCAGUUCUAACCUCAGAGACCCCAACAGGUAUUGGAUCUGAAUAUGGUAUCUACGUGAAAAAAUGUCAUGUUAAAACGUAUACUCAUACAGAUAUGAACAUAAUACAAAUCUCAUCUUUCUGUUAAUAGACUCACCACAUGUGCCGUUUCCUUUUGAUCUUCUGAAGAUUUCUCCUGAAGUUCUGUGGAAUGACUAUCUUCCUCAACAAUCUGUUCUUUGAGGUCAUCUGUUUCCUUUUCCUUUGGUAUAUUUAAAGGCACCUGUUCAAUUUAUAUAACAUUCCUGUAAGCAGAUCCCUUUGAUGACUUGAUAGAUAAGAAAGUCUGGUGGUAUUAUUUCUUGCUCACCUCUUCAUUCAAGAUAACAUCCUUUGACAUCUCACUGCAGUCUUCUGUGCUAUUAAGCUGAUUUUCUUGUGUAACAUCCUCUUUCAUAUCUUCUUUUUCAUACAAUGAAUCAUCUGCACCAAUUUUUGUUGUCUGUUCUGUUUUCUGCAUCCAUUAGUGUCAAAAGUAUGUUAAGAAAACACAAAAAGAAAUGCAAUAAAAGGAUGUGUGAACUGUAAAGACAUUGUAAUUCUAUCUGACCUCAUCACUUGAAAUUUCUUUUGUUACAGUUUGUUUCUCUUCAUCCACAUAUGUUGUUGUUGCUGAUGUAAGACGAUCUUCUUUCGGGUUUGAAUCUUCUGACUUGGGCACCAAUUCAGGGAUUUUUACAUCAUAGACAGAUUCAAGAUCUAGUGGCAAAGUUUUAAGGGUUUCUUCUGUUGUAGUUACUAAUGAACUUGAGGGUACAAUAUCUUCUUGAGGUUUGACUUCUGUUGUUUCAUUUGAAUCCUUAGAUUUUUCUUUUGAUGCUUCAUCCAAACCAUCAUUCUGUUGCUCAACAGGUUCAAUCUCCCUUGUUCUUGCAUCUUGAAAGCACUUUUCUUCUUUAGUUGUAGUGUCAUUUGGAUUCUCUAUGCUGUCAUGGGAUAAAUGUUCAUCCUUUUUUGUGAUUUCCUCUUCUUCUAUAGUUUCACUUAUGGUUUCAGUUGGACCUGCCUGUAUCUCCUCAACAAUUUGUCCUUUAGGUUGACCAAGCUCUGACGACACCUGUUUAAAAUAUAUUUUUUUAAAUAAUUUAAUAUAACAAACAACUGAAUAUCGAAGAAGGUUGAGCUAUAUCUGUUAUAAAAUGAAGUCUUUUGAAUAUUCUAUCUGUUAAAAGAUGAUAUCCAACUUUGAAUGAACAAAUGAAAACAUUUUGAUGUUAUAGUUCCCUUUUUCACAUGUCCACUGACCUCAUCGGUUAAUUCCUUUUCAUCUGAUGUUGUUGUCUUUUCAUCUGCUAAGUCCUUUUCAGGCAAGAUGACAUUCUCCAUGAUGUUUUCAGGGGUGAUGUCUGAUUGUUCUGGUUGAGGCUUUGUUUCCUUAACCUGGUAUUCUUCUAUCACCAUCUUAGACAUGGGUUUGAGUUCUCCAUGUAGUUCUAGAUUCUAUUUUGCAAAAAAUAAACCAAAAUAAUGCAGAUAGUUUUACUUUCCAUAUGACAACAUAAGUGUUCAUGAUAGAGUGAUAUGUCAAUAUGCAUUAACAUCAAAAAUCUUGAAAAUUUUCUAACCUCUGUACUUGAAGUUUCAUUAGCUAUAACUUCAUGUUCUUUCUCUCCAUUGUUUUCAUCUGUAUACUCGGUUGUUGCUGAGACAAUGCUCUCUUCUUUCACUUUUGAGUCUUCUGAAUCAACAACUACUUCAGGGGUUUGUACAUCACAAACAGAUUCAAGAGCCUGUUUGGGUGACUCAUCGAUUUCUAAUGGAUCUGAAUACGAUAUCUGCUUAAAAAAAUUCAUGUUAACACAUAUUCAUACAGCAUGAACAAAAUACUAUUCUCAUCUUUCUGUUAAUAGACUAACCACAGGUGCCUUUUGAUCUUCUGUUGAUUUCUCUUGUAGCUCUGUGGAAUUACUAUAUUCCUCAACAAUCUGUUCUUUGAGGUCAUCUGUUCCCUUUUCCUUUUGUGUCUCUAAAGGUACCUGUUCAAUCUAUAUAACAUUCAUGUAAGCAGACCCCUUUGAUGACUUGAUAGAUAAGCAAGUGGUUAUAUAUUUAUCGUAUUCACCUCUUUAGUCAAGAUGACAUCCUUUGAUAUCUCACUGCAGUCUUCGGUGCUAUUAAGCUGAUUUUCUUGUGUAACAUCCUCUUUUUCAUACAGUGAUUUGUUUUCACCAAUUUCUGUUGUCUGCAACCAUUAGUGUCAAAGUAUGUCAAUAAAGCACAGAAGAAAUGCAAGAAAAAGAUGAUGUGAACUGUAGGGACGUUUUUCUGUCUGACCUCUGCACUUGAAACUUCUUUUGUUUCUGUUUCUUUUUCUUCAUCCACAUGCGUUGCUGUUGUAAGACACUCUUCUUUCAUGUUUGAAUCUUCUGACUCGAGCCCCACUCCAGGGAUUUGUACCUCAGAAACAGUUUCAAGAUCUUCAAGGAAGAUCUCUUUAGUCAUUUCUGUCUGCUCCUGCCUUUCAUCAGUAUUGACCACUGUGGUAGCAUGUUGUCCGAUUGUUGUUUCUUUUAUAUCCUCACUGGAUGCAUUUUGUGAGCUUGUAACAUCAUCUUCACCAUCUUGGACUUCUUCUGACAUUUUGAGGUCUUUUUCUUUUGCUUGAUUUUCCUCUUUGCUCACUGUUUCAUCCUCAUUCAAUUCAGAUUCAACCUUCUCUAAUCCUGUCACUUCAUGGACUUCCUUAACCAGGGAGCUUUCAGACUUUUCUGUUUGACCAUCAUCAUUGACUACAUCCUCCUUUUUUUCUAUGGUUUCGACACUAGAUUUGAUUUCUUCAGUGUCUUCCUCUAUACUUUCUCUAGUUUCAAAAAACUCAGGUUCUUUACCUUCUUCUUGGUAGUUCUUUUUUUGCAAGUCUUCUUCUAAUGCUGCAACCUGUGAGGUUGUUACAUUGUCCUCACCUUGACCUUCUGCCGACAUGUUGACCUGAUCCUUUUCUUGAUCUUCAUCUUUAAAAGUUUCUAUUGCUUUUAUCCCUUCUUCAGAUUCAACCUUUUCCGAACUAGUCUCAUCACAUACCUCUUUGACAGAGUGGAUAGGAGGCGUUUCCAUUUGAUCAUCAUCAUGCUCAAUAGGCUCUUUGUUUUUUUCUUCAGUUUCUGUUUUCUCUUCUUGAGAUUCCACUUGUGCUGAUGUGAAAACAUCAGUUGUGAUGGCAUGUGGCAACUCUCCUUGCUCCACUUUUUCUUUUGUUUUAACAUUUGUGCUUAUAAGUUCAUUAUCUUCCUCCAUGCUUUCUCUAGUUUCAAAAAAUACAUCCUCAGAGGCUGCAACUGUAUCCUGUGAGCAUAUAACUUCAUCCUCACUUUGGUCUUUUUCUGGUAUGUUGAGCUCUUGUUCCUUUUCUUGAUAUUCAUCUUUGCUUAAAAUUUCUAUUUCUUUCUCAUUCUGAUACAUAUCGGAAUUUAUCCCUUCUUCAGAUACAGUCUUCUUUAAGUCAGUCUCUUCACAUACUUCCUGUUGCUCCUUUUCAUCUGUUUCAACACUUGGUUUGAUUUCUUCAGUAUACAUCUCUUGCUCAAAAAUUAUGCUGGCACUUUCUUCUAUUUUAUCUUUUGCUCCAUUAUCAUCAUACUGCUCGCUUGCCUAUAUGAAGAGUGUAUUUUGAGUACAUGGGCAGAAUGGACAAUACAGAACUUGGUAAGUCUAAUGUAUAGUCAAAGUUUGUAAAACAAUCUGUGUAACAGCUUAGUUUAUUGGUCUCUUUUUCAAAAGAAAAUUAUGAGCAGCAUUUGCUCUAAAGUCUAAACUACUUUAUAAAACGGGUUUCCCUUAGAAUUUAUCAUUUUCAUAAAUAUCCACAACUUGCUUUUCUUCUAGUUCUAUACCCCUCCCCAAUUGUACUGUUCAAUUGAAUAAAUCAAGUUCUGUAUUUGAAGUUACACUUAAUAUGCUCUAUAAAAUAUGUAUUUUAUCUUGUUUAGGGCCCUUAAAAUGGUCUAAUAUAUAUAUAUNNNNNNNNNNNNNNNNNNNUAUAUAUAUAUAUAUAUAUAUAUAUAUUUGUAAGAGAUACUUGAACUACCGAGUUGAACAACUUAUGCAUUUGUUACUUUCUCAAACACAUGAGAUGAGAAAUUUUGUAGCAGACAACAUAAUGUCUUGAUAAUUUUAGCAUUGCAAGUUUAGUUGGAAUGAUGUACAAGUAAAACCUUUUGAAAUAAUUAGAGAUUACUUAAGAUGAACAUAAAUUACCUCUUGAGCAUGAAUUGAUUUGUCUUCUAUUUCUUCCUUGAGGAUCUCUUUGGUCAAUGCACUAUCAUCUUUGCUCUCCUCAAAAUCAACCACUGUGGUAACAUGUUGACCAAUUGUUGACUCUUGUAUAUCCUCACACGUUGCAUCUUCUGAACUUGUAACGGCAUCCCCACCACCUUGGACUUCUUCUGGCAUUUUGAGUUCAUGUUCCUUUUCUUGAUUUUCCUCUUUGCUCACUAUCUCAUUCUCAUUCAAUUCAGGUUUAGCCUUCUCUGAUCCUGUCACUUCACACACCUCCUUAACCAAUGGGCUUUCAAACUCAUCAUUGACUAUAGCAUCUUCCUCAAUCUUUUCUUCAUUUUCCAUAGUUUCUUUUUUAGGUUCUAUUUCUGUUGAGCUGCAAACAUCAGUAGUAAUGACAUGCAGCAACCCUUGUUGCUCCAUAUUUUCUUUUGUUUCUAUACUAGAUUCGAUUUCUUCAAUGUUUUCCUCUACACUUUCUCUCGUUUCAACAACUUCAGGUUCUUUACCUUCUUCUUGGUAGUUCUUUUCUUGCAAGUCUUCUUCUAAGGCUGCAACCUGUGAGCUUGUUACAUUAUCCUCGCCUUGACCUUCUGUUGACAUGUCAACCUGAUCCUUUUCUUGUUCUUCAUCCUUGAAAGUUUCAAUAGCUUUUACCUCUUGUUCAGAUUCAACCUUUUUUGAGCUAGUCUCAUCGCAUACCUCCUUGGUAGUCUCUUCAUAAACCUCCUUCAUAGACUCUUCAUUCUUUUGUUCAGUUUCCGUGGUCUCUUCUUGAGAUUCUGUUUGUGCUGAUAUGCAAGCUACCUCUUGAGCAUCACUUGGUUUUUCCUCUGUUUCUUCCAUAAGGAUCUCUUUAGGCAUUAAACCUAUCGCUUGUCCCUCCUCUAAAUAGGCCACUGUAGUGUCCUGUUGACCAACUGUUGUUUCUUUUAUAUCCUCACACGUUGCAUCUUUUGAACUUGUAGUUGUAACAUCAUCCCCUAAACCUUUUCCUGACACAUAAACCUCUUGUUCCUUUUCUUCAUCUUCAACUUUGUUCACUAUUUCUUUCUCAUUUGUUGUUUCUUUUACCUCUUCGCUAUAUUCAACUUUCUCUGAACUGGUCUCUUCACAUACUUCAUUGACUGGGGAGCUGUCAACAUUUUCCUUUUGACCAUUAUCACUCUGAAUAGGCUCGUCACUUUUUACUUCAUGUUCUUCACUUUCUACCUGAGAUUUUGUUUGUGAUGUGAUGCAAUCAUCAUGCAACAGUUCUUGCUGCUUGGUUUCAACACUUGGUUUGAUUUCUUUAGUAUCUUCCUCUUGCUCAAUCUCUGAACAAGAUUGAACAGUUUUGUUGUCGCUUUCAUCAGGCUUUUGUUCUGUUUUGUCCUAUUAGAGAAAAAGUAUUCAGUUAGAUAUGAUGAUUUAUAUAAAUAGGCUCAAAGUUUUUAAAAACAAUCUCUGUGGUAGGUUUUUUUCAUUGUUCUUUUUUAAGAUAAUUGUGAGUGACAGUUGUUCUUUAUAACAUUAACAUGAUUCUACAUUGCUUAGUAAUAAAACAUUAAAAGUUUUAGUAGGAAAGAUAUACAAGUAAAACCUUUUGGAUUGUUCAGAGUUAACAUGGGAUGAACACGAAUUACCUCUUGAGCAUCAAUUGCACUCUGAUUCGGCUCCUCGAACUCGAUAUCAGCCACUGGGGUAGCCUUUUGACCAAUUAUUGUUUCUUUUAUAUCCUCGCUGGAUGCAUUCUGUGAGCUUGUAACAUCAUCUCCACCACCUUGGACUUCUUUUGACAUUUUAAUCUCUUGUUCCUUUUCUUGAUUUUCCUCAUUGUUCACUAUUUCAUUCUCAUUCAAUUCAGAUUCAGCCUUCUCUGAGCUUGUUGCUUCACAUACUUCCUUCACCAAGGGGCUUUCAGACUUAUCUGUUUGACCAUCAUCAUUCACCAAUGCCUCUUCAUCAAUCUUUAUAUCAUCUUUUGUUUCGGCACUAGAUUUGAUUUCUUCAGUAUCUUCCUCUAAAUACUCUCUAGGUUUGACAAAUUCGGGUUCCUUACCUUCAUCAUCAUAUUUUGUUUCUGGUAAGUCCUGUAUAGAAGUUGCAUCUUGUGAGAAAGUGACAUCAUCUUUUCCUUGGUCUUCUUCUGAAAUGAUGGACUCUUGUUCUUGUUCUUGUUCUUUUUCUUUUUCUUGAUGUUCAUCUUUGUCAGAAGGUUCUACCCCUUCAAAUUUACCCUUCUCUAAGUGAGUUUCUUCACAUACUUCAGUCACAUCUUCAUCGUCUGUAAUCUUUACCUGCUCCUUUUCAUCUGUUUCCACACUUGGCUUGAUUUCUUCAGCAUUUUCAUUUUUGUUGACACUUUCCUCGGGCUUUUGUUCUAUUUUUUCAUUUGCUCCACUCUCAUCCUGCUCACUUGCCUAUAUGAACACAAGUAUUUUGAGUACAUGUGGAGAAUAAAAGUAACACAUCAUGAUAAGUCUAAUGCAUAGUCAAACUUUUAAAACAAUCUUUGUGGCAGCUUCAAAAAAAUUUGUGAGCCAAAUUUGCUAUAAACUACUUUAUAGAAUGGUUUUCUCUAAACAUUUAUCGUUUUAUGAACUCUAACUCUUCUCAACAAAUGAAACUAAACGUUUGGAUGAGACAAGCAUUUGACAUUAAAAUUAUGUAUGAAAAUCAUAAUAUUGUCUUAUACUUUUAUAAAUUAAACAUAAAACUAGUAAGAAUUAGCCUUAACAUUUAACAAUACAUUAGUAUAAUAUGUGAUUUUUAGUUUCUCUUACACAUGAGAUAAGAAAAUAUGUAGCAGACAACAACAUUUCCAUAUGUCAUAAUGAUUAUAGCAUUUCAAAUUCUAGUAAGACUGAUCUACAAUUAAAACUGUAAAACCUUUUAGGAAUAGUUAGGUUUACUUAGAAUGAACAUGAAUUACCUCUUGCACAUCAGUUGAUUUGUCCUCUGCUUCUUCCUUAAGGAUCUCCUUAGGCGUUGAGUUUAGAGCCUGUUCCUCCUCUAAAUAGGCCACUGUAGUAACAUGCUCACCAGUUGUUGUUUCUUUUAUAUCCUCAAAUGUUGCAUCUUGUGAACUUGUAACAUCAUCCCCUAAACCUUUUCCUGACACAUAAACCUCUUGUUCCUUUUCUUCAUCUUCAACUUUGCUUGCUAUUUCGUUUUCAUUCAGAUCGAUAUUAACACUGUCAGAAAGUUUUAACCCUUCUUCAGAUUCAACCUUCUCUGAGACAGUCUCUUCACAUACUUCCUUCACCAUGGUCUCUGUAUUAGAACUAUCAGAGUAGUUCACCUCUUCUUUAUAUUCAAUUUUCUCUGAACUAGCCUCUUCACAUACUUCAACACUUGGUUUGGUUUCUUCAGUAUCUUUCUCUUGCUCAAUUUCUGAACCAGACUGUACAAUUUUGUUGUCACUUUCUGCAGACUUUUGUUCUUUUUUGUCCUAUUAGAGAAGAAAUAUUCAGUAUAUUAUACGACUGAAAGAAAAGAAAUGAUGAUUUAUAUAAACAGGCUUAAAGUUUUUAAAAACAAUCUUAAGGGUAGGUUUUUUUCAUUGUUAUUCUAUAAAAUAAAUGUGAGCGACAGUUGUACUUUAUAACAUGAAUCUACAUUGGUUAGUGAUAAAAAAAAGCAUUUCAAGUUUUAGUUGGAAUGAUGUACAAGUAAAACCUUUUGGAUUGUUUAGGAGUUAACAUGGUAUGAACAUGAUUUACCUCUUGAACAUCAAUCACACUCUGAUUCUGCUCCUCGAACUCGAUAUUAGCCACUGGGGUAGCCUGUUGACCAAUUGUUGUUUCUUUUAUAUCCUCACUGGAUGCAUUCUGUGAUCUUGUAACAUCAUCUCCACCACCUUGGACUUCUUCUGACAUUUUAAGCUCUUGUUCCUUUUCUUGAUUUUCCUCUUUGCUCACUAUUUCGUUCUCAUUCAAUUCAGAUUCAGCCUUCUCUGAGGUUGUCGCAUCAUAUACUUCCUUCACCAAGGGGCUUUCAGACUUCUUUGUUUGAUCAUCAUCAUUCACUAAUGCCUCUUCAUCAAUCUUUAUAUCAUCUUUUGUAUCAGCACUAGAUUUGAUUUCUUGAGUAUCUUCGUCUAUAUUCUCUCUAGGUUUGACAAAUACAGGUAAGUUCUCUAUAGUGGUUGCAUCUUGUGAGCAUGUGAUAUCAUCUUUUCCUUGGUCUUCUUCUGAAAUGAUGGACUCUUGUUCUUUUUCUUUUUCUUGAUCUUUAUCAUUGUCAGAAGGUUCUACCCCUUCAAAAUUUCCCUUCUCUAAUUGAGUUUCUGCACAUACUUCAAUCACAUCUUCUUCAUAGUCUGUAAUCUUCACUUGUUCCUUUUCAUCUAUUUCCACACUUGGCUUGAUUUCUUCGGUAUCUUCAAUUUUGUUGACAAUUUCCUCGGGAUUUUGUUCUAUUUUUUCGUUUGCUCCACUCUCAUACUGCUCGCUUGCCUACAUGAAAACAAGUAUUUUGAGUACAUGUGGAGAAUGAAAGUAAUACAUCAUGAUAAGUCUAAUGCAUAGUCAAAGUUUUAAAACAAUCUUUGUGGCAGCUUCCAAAAAAAUUGUGAGCCAAAGUUGCUAUAAACUACUUUAUAGAAUGGUUUUCUCUAAACAUUUAUCAUCUUAUGAACACUAACUCUUCUCAACAAAUGAAAUUAAACCUUUGGAGGAGACAAGCAUUUGACAUUAAAACUAUGUAUGAAAAUCAUAAUAUUGUCUUAUAUUUUUAUAGAUUAAACAUAGAACUAAUAAGAACUCUAACUCUUCACUUACUUGUUGCUCCGUUUCAACACUAGGUUUGAUAUCUUCAGUAUCUUCCCCUUGCUCUGUUUCUGAAGAAGACUUUGCACUUUUGUUGACAAUUUCCUCAGGCUUUUGCUCACUUUUUUCCUCUGCCUCAUUAUCGCACUUCUUGCUUGCCUAUUCGAGAAAAUAUUUUCAGCAUAUAGGAAGAAUGAAAGAAAAGAAAUGAUGUUUUAUACGAAUAGGCUCAAAGUUAUUGAAAACAAUAUGUGUGAUGUUUCAUUGUUCUUUCUUUAAACAGAUUGUUAAUGGAAGUUCUUUAUAACGUGGUUUUUUCUAGGCAUUUAUCAUUUUCUUGAACAUCAUGUUAGAUUGGUAUGGCAUGCGCUUCGGGCUCAACAAUGGUGGAGGAGAAGAAUAUUUGACAUUAAAACAGUGCAUGAGGUUCAUAAGAUGAGUCUUAUGGUUUAAGCAUAGAGUAAGUAAGAAAAAGCAGCAACAUUUCCAUAUUUGUACAUACUCUACAACUUAAUAUAAACUAUGUCCAGAAUUUGUGUAUGUUAUCUUGUUUAGGGCCUUUAUAGGGCAUAAUGCAUGCUUCUUAGUUUUUCUUUUUCAUAAACAUGAGAUAAGAAAUUAUGUAGCAGACAACAUUUCCAUAUUUCUUAAGAAUAUGGCAUUUCAAAUUUUAGUUGGAUUGAUUUACAAGUAAAACCUUUUUGGAAUAGUUAGGGUUUCCUUAUAACGACUAAUGAACAUGAGUUACCUCUUGAGCAUCACUUGGUUUGUCCUCUGCUUCUUCCUUGAGGAUCUCUUCAGGCAUUGGACUUAGACUCUGUGCCUCCUCUAAAUGAGCCACUUCGGUACUAGCAUGUUCAUCAAUUGUUGUUUCUUUUAUAUCCUCACAUGUUGCAUCUUGUGGACUUGUAACAUCAUCCCCAUCACCUUGUCCUUUUCCUGAAACAUAAACCUCUUGUUCCUUUUCUUCAUAUGCUAUUUCAUUCUCAUUCAAAGCGAUAUUGGAACUGUCAUAAAAUUGUAACCCUUCUUCAGAUUCAACCUUCUCUAAGAUAGUCUCUUCACUAGUUCUGAUUUCUUCAGUAUCUUCCCCUAUACUUUCUUUAGUUUUAACAACUUCAGGUUCGUUAACUUCACUGUGGUGUUCUCUUUCUUUUAAGCCUCCUUCAUAAGUUGCAUCAUGUGAGCUUGUAACAGUAUCAUCACCUUGGUCUUUUUCUAAUGUGUUGCCCUCUUGUUUCCUUUCUAGAUCUUCAUCUUUGCUUAAAAUCGGUAGUGUUUUCUCGUUGAUCUCUACAUUAGAACUAUCAGAAUGUUUGACCUCUUCUUCAUAUUCAACUUUCUCCGAACUGGUCUCUUCAUCUACAAUUUUGUUGACAUUUUCCUCAGACUUUUGUUCUCUUUCUUCCUUCACACACUCCUCGCUUGCCUAUUCGGGAAGUUGGUUUUGUUUUUUCAGUAUACAAGAAUUAUGAAAAAAAAAAAUAAAUGAUGAUUUAUAGGAAUAGGCUCAAAGUUUAUGAAGUUAAACCUUUUGGAAUAGUUAGAUUACUUAAAAUGAACAUGAAUUACCUCUUGAGCAUCACUUGAUUUGUCCUCCUGUUCCUUUUCUUCAUCUUCAACUUUGCUUGCCAUUUCAUUCUCUUUCAGGGCAAUAUUGUAACUGUCCGAAAGCUGUAACCCUUCUUCAUAUCCAGUUUUCUCUGAAACAGUCUCUUCACUUGCUUCUUUUACAAUGGGGCUUUCAGACUUGAUCUCUGUUAAAGAACUAUCAGAAUGCUUUACCUCUUCUUUAUAUUCAACUUUUUGUAAACCAGUUUCUUCACUCUGAAUUGCUUCAUCAUUUUUUAUUUCAUGUUCUGCACUUAUUACAUGAGGCUCUGUUUGUGAUGUGAUGCAAUCUUCAGGUAUGACUUCUGUUUUCUCCUCUGUUUCAACACUUGGUUUGAUUUCUUCAGUAUCUUCCUUUUGCUCAAUCUCUGAAGAAGACUGUACAAAUUUAUCGACACUUUCCUCAUGCUCUUGUUCUCUUUCUUCCUUUGCUCCAUUCUCACACU
Molecule: long non-coding RNA, 48253 nt
Filed under: Lactuca sativa (garden lettuce)
Lineage: Eukaryota; Viridiplantae; Streptophyta; Magnoliopsida; Asterales; Asteraceae
Description: long non-coding RNA (LSAT_LNC004763)
Source: RNAcentral